AAUAGAUAUUGUUGGUUAGAUUUAUAUGAGCUUUGAGGGAGAGCAGAGAUUCGCCCCUUGUUUUAAUAUCUGCCCGACUUUUAAGUGUUUAGUUUGAUUAAAGUCAAUAUGUUUGCUUAACCUUUGGGCCAAAGAGACACCUCAGCAUGUGUGUAUGUCACGUGUCCUGAAAAAUGUGUGUUUAUGUGGGAGAAAGUGAGGAAAACGGAGAUGUGUUUAUGUCUAUUGGAAACCUGUCCAUCACAGGGAUACACCAAGCUACCUGGGUGAGCUGACUUCAUCUGGAUAUGUAACACAUAGCCUGAACAGAGCUGCUGUUUGUUGGCUAGAAACGGUUUCUAUUUUCCAUCUUUUCUUCAAGUGGAAUGGCUGCAAGGAGACCCCAGGACCAUUUCAUCUCCAACAUCCUUUACCAGCUGUCGCAGUCUUAAAGGCAUGCUGUUCAGCCCACAGAAAAUCCCACUAAUCAUCUUUUUGUGUUUGAGGGCACAAUAUGCUGAAACAGGCAGGGUGCACACACACACACACACACACACACACACACACACACACACACACAGAUAAAUAUACACACACACAUGCAUGCAGACACAUGCCAGCCUGCUGCUCUCUUGUCCCCAUGCCCUGAGGGGAAGGAGGGCGCUCAGUAUAAUCACUUGUUAGAGGUCUGGCUAACCCCCCCAACUCUUCUCUCUGUCCUCUUCUGGACCCUUCACACUCCUCCUCCAACUGUUUUGUUUAUCCACCAAUCUGUGUCACUUCCUCUGUUCGCCCCAUGACCACUUCCUGUGUGUCUGCUGUCUUUUUUUUUUUUCUUUUUCUCUCGUUCUCCAACUUUCUAACCCAGACAGAUCUUUCCUUCAUCUUCUUAUAUCCAGUGCUUCAGGUGGAAAAAAAGUGCCAGGAUCCACUUGUGAGCCUGAGUCCAUUAUUUUUUCGUUUAUUAAUAGCAUUCUUGUUUUGUUUUUUUUUGUUUUUUUACCAUGAAUAAAAGAAACCAGAACAUUGCGCUAGUUUUCACAAUUUAAUAAAAAAAAAUACUUAUCAUUUCAUACCAGCAAAGAACCUCUGGAUCUCUGGAUCACAAUGCUCCUAUCCAAUUUUCCAUCAGGCUAUAUAAACCGUAUACAGCAGUCUUGGUGUAUAGUAUAGAGAGGUCAUCACUAGGCCUUUGCUGGAGGACUCUCCCGGAAAGCAACACAAAUAAGUUGACUCAACUUUCGAAACACAGCACAGACAGGAGAGGACAGUGGCUUUGAGUAAAAGCAAAGUAAAGGUAGAUAAGGAGUUUUCUAUGACGACUGUUUUUGUUCAUAGCUUUUUUUUUUUUUAGCUUUUUCUGAAAAGUACUUAGACCAGUGAUACCUAUCUGACCCCAUGCCUGGACUACUUCUGAUGUCUUUAAAAGGAGGCAGGAAAAGAAAAGAAAACACAAAAAUUACUUUAUAACAUAAGUCAAAAAGUCUAAUUUUUGCCUCUUUAACUCUCAGUUUCUCCUGCAAUGAUCUCCUCUCAAACUGCAUUAUUUUCCAAAAUUACUGAGCUUUCUUGCAGCACUGAUUGCUUCCUCUGUGACUCUAGCCUCUAACUUCUUCUCUUAGGUUCAACAACUCUUGAUUUUUUUAAAGAAACUGUUCUUUAACUUGGCGGGGGAAUGGGUUUGUUUGUGUACCAUGCUUGUUUCAAUGCUUUCUGCAGCUGCUAUAACAGAGUCACUGACAGUUCAUCGUCUUUGCAGGGUACAAGAAGUGGAGUUGAGGCUCAGCGAUUUGGACACAAGGAAUAGACCUUUUGAAGUCCAGGACACAAGGUAAUGGUUAUAUUAUGUACAUAUAACAUGGCAACAACAAGUUUGAUAGAAAUUGGCCCAAAAGUACAAACAUUUUACAAACCAGUAGCUCAUGGUGUUGUAUUGUUUACACUUGACCAAAAUUACCCUUUUCACACUGAUUGAACUUGAUUUGUGAGAUGUUUGUUUGGGUAAUAAAUUGACACAAACUAGAGAAAGCUCAGCACGAGUCAGCAGUAUUUACUGUAUUGCUUGCAGACUUUUUGUAGUACAAAGAACAGCACUACAACAAGGAAAGACUCAUAAAAAUAGCCAGAGCAUUCAGCUGCUUAAAGUUAAUCAAUAACAACAAGGGAGAGAAAGACUAUAUCUUUUUGUGUAGUUAGAGCGCAUCACUAGUAAGCAAAACCAUCCAAAUCUUGUUUUUUUUUUUUUGCACCUUGUUUUGUACAUUAUAAUACUUACACAGAGAGUCCAAGUCAUAUGAACAAUAAGUCCUUUCACUAAUUUCUCCUCUCAAUGACUUUAUAAGUGAACAGCUCAUGCAUCAUUCUUCUCAUUGACUAAUGUCCCGCUUCAUUUUGUCCUUUCUGCUUUGCCGUCGCCCGCCGUGCAACACUGAUUAAUGCCAUCACAGCAAAUUAGAUAGCCCAGGAACAACAUGUUUAUCAUUUUCAAGCAUUAAGAAAAGUACUUUCCUGGUUCAUUCCCUUCAGUGCUUUCAAAGCAGGGGGAACAUCAGGGUGAUGUAUGUAUGUACUGUAUAGAGGGGGAAAUAUUAAUUGGGAAAUAGCCAGAGAUGUGGCCUUUCUUCUAAAGGUUGUGAGACAGAGGACAAGAGCUGAGAGUGAGUUACCUUCAAAGUAAUGGUGUCAUUUUUUACACUAUACUCUCACUUCUUCUGUGUUGGCUGAUUUGAACAGCGGACAGGAUUUUUUUUUAAGCUCUCAGCUGAAAUCUUUUUGCUCUGAGAUUUGUUGGUUGAUGAAAUUGUUUAUAUUUAUUGCAUCAGUAGUUUAAUAUCAAACAUAUAUAUCUGCAGGUUGUAGGAGGAGAAUGUAACCUCUUGGUCUGCUUUGAACCUGGAGCUUUUUGAUGGCCAAUCGUGGGCACCUCCACUGUGAACCACUGUCUGUGUAACGUAUGACAACAAUGAUGAUGGCAUGUGGGAGAACCUGUGAGGUUUUUGGCUACUCUAUCAGUUGUGAGAAACUUUGUUAAUACUAAACAACACAAAAGCCUGAAUUUGUUUACAUUGUAGAGACUUUUGCAAACACCACCUCAACCAUUACCUUGUUGGCCUGGUUGCACGCUAUUUUAUUUACAGUUACUUUUGCAGAUCCCAUGCAUGCAGAUCCCUUUGUCAUGUGAACUUGGAUUUUUUUUUUUUUUUUUUAGACCAAAGGGAAAGAUUUUUCUGUGUUUUGAUGGGACUUUUCUUCUGGACCAAAUACAGUCAUCAACUGUUAAUUGAUUCAUAUAAUCAUCAUAUCAUAUUGUUACAUUACAUAGCACUACAUCAUAUAUGUUACGGAUAUAGUCGAUUACACUCUCUGUCUCCUCAUAUUGUUACCCUAUUAAAAUAAUGGCCUAAGUCAUUUUUUGACGAAAAUGAGUUUUGGCCUAAAUCGUCUCUUGAUAAUGGAGAUGAUUGAUGGAGAUGAUGAUAGAAAAUUGGGGGAAAUUUUGAUUUUGUACAGAGAGAAAUUUAAAAAACCAACCCUUUACGACCCAUUGACAUGUUAACCCCUUCGUUCGAGUAGCGAUGUUAUUUUAUUUUAAGAGGCUAACAGGAAACUGCAAUAGCAGCGUGAAAACCUUGCUGGCCAUUGAGUUACAAUAGCAGCCUCAGGUAUUGACAGAAAGACAGCAAGCACUCAGAUAUUCUCAUAUCAUUUUCAUCCUCAUAUCAUGCUGUGAACGUAGCCUGGCAUUGGUAUGUUCUUACCCAAUGUUCCCUCUCCCAGGCUGUAUAUCACAUCAUAAAGAAUACAUAAACCCCUCUCCAAAAAAAAAAACCUACCCAGUCUCCAAGGCAUCAGUGCUGAGCCCUGUUCUGCACCGAAAAGAGCUCAAACAAAGAACUUUCCUUGGAAAGAAAAAGAAGAAAAACAACAUCCCUCAAACAAAACAAAAAAAAUCUAGAGACAAUGCUAAUAACUGUAAAAUAUGAAUGGUGACUUGACAUAUUUGCAAAUGCGCUGAGAGGCGCCCUACUAAACGCGAUGAUAUGGGAAACCAAUGGCAUGGAAGAAAGCGGUUGUGGGCCCCCAUCUCUCGCCAUUAGAUGUUCAGUGGAAGCUGUCAACAGAAGGCGCAUUUGCCUGCCAAGCUCCCUCUCUGACUGAGCUCUGUGCCUGCAGCACGCCCCGAGCUCCUCUUUGACUCAAAGGCUUCAUUUCACUUCUUUUAGCCUCAUUCGCAUGUGCUGCUACACAAAAACCCGGCUUGCUCGCAGCCUGCCUCUCGUGUGUGUGUGUGUGUGUGUGUGUGUGUGUGUGUGUGUACUGCUUUGUGUCCAUUUUACUGUGUUUCCGUGUGUUUGUCCAUGACUGUGUGUGAGAGUUUUGUACAAGUGCACGUGUACAUGCAUGUGUGUGUAAAUCACAAGGUGAUGCCGCUCUGACAGCCAAAAAGCCACAGUGACAGAAACACAGAAAGAGACCAGAGGGCACAGUCCAUCAUUAUCAUUUUCUGCCCAUAUUAGCAUAAAGCUAGCUCUAUAUAUCCAGGAAACACUUUCAGCUCGAACUUCCUGUGACAUACUGUAGGUUUCUAUAGCAGCUAAAUAAAUGUCUCUGUGUAAUCCAGCUUCUGGAUCAGGCCACCUGAAAAAAAUCAUGAGUCAUCAUUUACAUGGGUGAUAUGUUCAGCACUGUCCCCUGAGGUUGUCAACUAGAAACGGUUUCACUUUGGAUUGUCACAACCCAAAAAAGAGUGCUAAACUACCUUCAACAACACACACAGUUUGUACACAUCCUGUAGUGUCAAUGCUACUGCAUCACAGUCAGUAUGAAGAGUAACUUCAUUAAGUUCAUUAGUAGUUAGUUCGAAAACUUUUUCAGACUAGGUAGGAUUUUCUUUGUAUCAAAAAAUAUACCAAUGAAAAUAAAUGAAUGAAUAAAUAAUGUGUUCAAAAGAAAGAGAGAAAAAACAACAGUAUGUGUAAAACUAACAAGACUCAUACAGCAAAGCCCAAAGUUAACAGCUUUAAUUAUCAGAUCAAGGUUGUUGUAAUAAAAUAAUAUUUUUAAAAAACUUGCACUCUUGAAGAAUUUCAGGGACAGUGUGAGUUGGGGCUUUGUAUCCUUUAAGUAAGAGAAAAUCGUUUUCAAGAAAAGGAUAAUGUAUAGCAGGGGUCCCUAUCCUUCAGACCUUAGACAAGUGAAAGCCCUUUGGUCAUUUCAAACCAGACUGUGAAAGCCCAUUCAAGAACCAGAGGGAGGAUGUAAUUGUCAUAUCCUACUGCAUUUUGUUUUGUUGAUUCGAUAUCUCAAGCCAAAUUAUACUCAAUUCAAGUUAAAAUCAACUUUGUUUUUACUAGUUGUAUUUAAACAAAAGUGUCAAUAUGAAAUAAAAACAUCUUAUUUAUUAUUUGGUUAAAGCCGUAUGGGCUUUGCAGAGUGAGAAGUCAUUGCCAAUUUGUUGCUAUGCCAGUGAGUAAGGAAAAAAAAAAGAUGGGCAAGAUUAACAAGUUUUUUUACUGGCGUUCAAGGAAAAUUCCUUGGCUCUGUGAGGAUAUCAGAGACACAAAGAAGUACAAAAUUUGACCAAAGUGAGGAGAGCCAUGUAAAAUUAAGUUUUAUUACUUAACAGCAGGUUAGAUGUUAGAAACACUGUCACUCACUCAUAAACACCUCAUUGGAGCCGCUAAUGUGGUUUUGAUUUUUAGAGCUCAGGUUGUAUUAUGUUUCUACUGUGCUUCAUAUAUAUUGAAAUGAUAGUCAUGGGGGAUUCCCAUGAGAUGUCCACCCUACAGGUCCAUCAGAAAUAUGACAGGGUUAGCAAGACUCUGAUUUGCAGUGGAGUCUUCUCUUUGGAGCUUUGGGCUUGGUUAAUAAGUGCAGGGUUAUAAAAAAAAUAUGUUGUCGCUAGUAUCAACAGGAUAAGAAAACAGAACUUCAUCUUGAAAAAUAAAUUUUCGUGCAUCAAAAGUUCUCCGUCAAGAAGUUGUUCAUACCGGGAAAUAAUGCUUGAAAUGGUUAAUUCUGUAAAGUUUUAGAAAGAAAUUGAAAUAAAGAGUUCAAGCGUUGGAGUGAGUAUUUUAUAUUUACUUUUUUAUGAGUAUAGUUGAGUCAUCAAUUUUUUUGAGACUUUUCAUUUUUUAUAUGAGCUCAAAUAGCCUAAAAAAUAUGACAAAGAUUUAGUUGAAUUAGGAAUUAAGACUACUUAAGCCAUUAUCUGGAGAACAGGUAGUAGUUUCCUGUGAAGUGUUUGACUUCCUAACACAGGCUGUCCUCUGGCCCGUCUGUCUUUGGCUAGCAGCCUGAGGGUCGGACCAGUGGAGUGGAAGUUGAAGAGGGCUGUUUGAAUGUAAUAGGUUUUGACUGGCAUGUGUUACAUGCUUCACUGCACCAUUGAUUGAGCGCUUGUUUGCUAAAUCACUGCUGGUUUCCUCUGUCUGGUAGGCCUGUGACACGUGUGGUGUGUGUGGUCACUUCUGCAGGGUGGAGGGAAAGAGAAGAGCUGGUGCAACCCCGGUGACUCAGAGAGGACAGAAGUUAAAAAUGACACAAAGAAAAGGUGGAAAAAUAGACGCAGACAGAAGAUGAUUGAACCUCUUGACCUCUUUUUUCUUGAACUCACCUAAUCAGGAAUCAACUUAUCCCCAAAUCUUGGCACUGAGGUCUCUUCUUUCACGGACACUCACAAUAACACCCCUCCUCCCCCUCCUCCUCUACCUCUCGACCAUUUCACUCCUCCUCUGCCCCCACCUCCCCUGUUUUAGACAUGCUUUUUACAGCUUGAAGGAUGUGGCAGAGGAGGGAGGGUGGUGUCAUGGGUCAAUGUCACUCAGCUUGGUCCACUCAGCGGAUGACUGAAGGGAGAUGUCUUGAUGGCUGAUUUUGCCUUUCGCCAUUUUUAAAGCUAAACAGCUGACCAGAUAAACGUAAAACUACAAAAAAAAAGAGAUUUAUUGAUAACUGAUGUGUUUUCAUUCUGAUUAAAAAAAACAUUUUGAUUAACCAACUAUUAAUUAUUAUUGUGCAGCUUAACGUUUCCACUCACAACACUGGUGAUGUAAAUUGAUUGGACAUAUAGGGACAGGACCAGGUUCUCUGAAAGAUGCCCUUUUCAGAGUUCCUUUAAGUGCCUGACAGACCAAUUUGAUCUGCAUUUUUUGGGGAAGUGCAAACCAGAAAGUGACUGAAUGCUAUAGCUGUAUUCCAAUACGGGCUAACAGGCAGUCAAAUAUGCUAUUUUAACUUAACCAUAACAUGAUCUCUCUCCUAAACAUCUCUGUCUUUAGUGUAUGUGGCUGCUCAUCAGUCAGGGAGUUGUAAAAUUACCACAAUUCAUCAGGAUGAUGAAGUUUUUACAAUUAAUGACCUGAAACACUGUGAUAAUAUGUGAUACUGAUAUAAGAGUCAUCUCCCAGAGUACAUGAGAAUGUAAAAGGCCAAGUUUUUAAAGCUUAAAUACAUCCUCUUUAUGAGUCCUUAAAAAGAGCCACUUUUGAAGAUUUGGUAACACUUUAUUUCACGCCUAUUUCUAUAACACAUUAUAAAUAUAUUUAUAUACAGUUGCAUUGCAUUAUCUAUGUGGGCAUUAUCAGUGAGUUGUUAACAGUUGUAACACAUUAUAUAAUACCUGACCUUGUAUGUCAUGAUAAAAUGCUUUAUAAUGUGUUAUGAUUAUUGCUAUAAAGCAUUAUGAUUAUUUAUGAGUGUUUAUAACUAUAUUUAUACAGUGCUACAAUGUGAUUAUAACACGUUAUACAUGUAUUUAUAAUGCGUAAUAGAGAUAGGCGUCAAAUAAAGUGUUACCGAAGAUUUACAUAUUGCAACUUUGCUGUAUAGCUUUCUACAAUUAAAAGUUAUACAAAGUCAUUAACCUCUGUUAGAUACUUGAUGCAAGUAAUUCAGCCAGACAUGAUUAGUGUAAACAGAGUGUAUAGAUAAUAUUCAUAAGUGUGUGUGUUUGUGCACGCAAACUUCAUGCCGUUUCAUGUAAGUAAGUACCUGAGUUUGGCCACCGCAGCUAAAAGAUUCACCCUGUUAAAAGGAUGAAUUGUAAUCAUAUUAGUGAUCCAGUGUUACAGACUGGUCAACAAAUACUAUACAUGUGUAAACCCACCAUUUCAGUCAAUCACGCCCUUAUGCUAAACUAAAAUUUAAACAUCUCACAUGCUAAUGUUAGUUUUAGGCUCAAAGCUCUGCAGCAGUAAAGCAGAAGCUCACAGAGCUGCUUGCACGGCCGUAGAGUCUGUCUUGUUUCAGUGUUGACAGGUAGGUUUUCUUUAGUUUAAUAACCUACAUUAUAAUCAGGUUUGCAUGUUUAGAUAAAUCUUAAAGCUUGUUAAAUUCUUUUUUUGUUUGUGAGAGUGUGUAACAUAAACCAACUUGCUGUUUUGCGUCUUCUGGUCUAUUUCCCUCUUUAAUUUCAGAUCUCUGGUUUAAAGCACCUGAACUAACCAAAACCAACCCAGCGCCUGGAGUCCUCCCCUCCACUUUAGAAAGCCUCAACAAGUAAACAGUGUCUUUGCUGAUUACACCGCCUCUCUCGGCAGCCCAGGGUUAGCUACAACACUUUGAUCUGCUAUUGAUUGUCUGCCUCCUCCUCCUCAGCCCUACGCAUCCUUUCCUAGCUGCUGUUUAAACACAGGUGAGUCAGCCAGUGGCCCGAGGCGCUGAGCCUUAAACCAACGGCACGCUGCGUGCUUCUAACACUGACCCACUGAGGUUAAUUGGUAUCCUCUUGGUGCUGUAAAAAUUGUAAUUAUGUUUAAUGAGAGCAGUGGAGCUGUUUGCAGAGGAGAACAAAGAUUUAGGUUUAGACACAGAAGACCCUCACAUGGGUACUCAAGCAGGAUUGACUCGUUAUCUGUUAGAUUUUAAGAGUUUUUGACUGGUAUUUGCAAAGAAUUGCAGCAGAUGGGUCAAAGAAAAGAUAAUUCAAACUUUCAUUGGAGCUCAACUUAACCAAAUCAACUUAAUUAAAGGGAUAUUCCGGCAUAAGUUUAAGUCAAACACACCAUAACACCAAGUUAGACACCCCUUCUAGAGAUGAAUUUUGCCAACCGCUUGCUUCUCUAGUUACAUGAAUUUCAGCAACGACUGCACGAUAGCAAUACACAGCAAUUAUUACUUCAUAAUUUUCAUGAAGUAAUAAUCAUCAUAAUAAUCAUUUUGCACUACAGACGCAGUAGUCCUUCUGCCUUAGCGUCUCGGUCUGAUUGCAUUUCCAUAAAGUAAUGAUUAUAAAUGUUCUUCAUUGAGCUGCCAAAUUUUGCUGCACUCUGUGAUCAACUCGUCAGGGCUCCCCCACAAACAAACAGCUGCUGGAGGAGAGUAGGUGAGUUGUGUUUAGUCUCUUUGCUGAAGAACUUAGGCAAAGUUAAAAAGAUGUUUGGUGGCUAGUACUAUGGUUUGGACCCUAUAUGUACUGUUGAUGAAGUUAGGUGCUGUUCUGAGCAUUCUUUGUGGCUACAAGUGGCUUUUUGGUUGAGGUUUGCACAUGGAGACAUAGACCGCUGUGUAUUGCUAUCAUGCGGUCGUUGCCGAAAUUGGUGUAACUAGAAAAGCAAGCGAUCAGCAACAUUUACCUCUUUAAGUUUCUGACGGUAAUUCAUGUUUAAACAAACAAACUACAGUUUAACAUGAUUUUUAAACUCAAAGUAAGUAAAAUUGAGAAACUUCAAUUUGUCCACUCGGAGUUCUUUUGAAAGUGUAGGUGCAUUUAAUCAAUUAGGCUAAGAGUAAACAAAAAUAAUUGUGAAAAUAAUGUAAAUAUUUCUUUCAGUUAAUAGAAAAAUCCACUGGACUCUUGUACAGUUGAAAAGUUUUUCCAGUUCUUCCAAAUGGCUUGUUAAGUUUUGGAUAUCAGCAGGGACUCCUAUGUUUUUGUCCCUGUAGAGAUACCACCCUGCCUCCAGAUGGAGGAUGAAGUGGUUCAAGGAAAAGAAAAAAAAAAGAAGCUCAGAAAAGGCAGAUUUGAUUUUUAUUUUUGGUCCUAAACAGCUCUGACAGAACACAUUAAUUAUAGCAAAUACAUGUUUGGACUUGUGAAGCAGUGAGUCUGUCUUCAUAGGAAAACCUUAAGGAGUGGAUAAUUUGCUCAAAGAUGUUAUACAUGUUCACAUUUUUAUGGGAAGAAAAUUCUUUCAUCUUCAGAGCGGAUGAGGUGAUGAAGGGCAAACAUUAUUUUCACACAAAAUAACUGGAGCUGGACUACAGACUUUUUCUCUUGAACCAUGAUCAUCUUUCGGUCAACGUUCUCGAUGAAAAAAAACAAAAAUAUAAGUUAGGCGUAGUAGUCACAACCUCUAUCUUUUGAAGUUGUUUAAAAUAUUAUUGUGUUUCCAGAUGCAACAGUUGUUAGAGUUUAUUAAAAUAUCUUCUUUAACCACUCCUUGAAAUAAUCCACUCCUCCACUUAAGCAUUUUCUUACAGCAGUGUUUUCUCAUGUUGAGGUACCUUGACACAGACAAAAAAACACUUUUUCAGGAAUCUGUGCGCCCAUCUCCAAAUCACUGUGAAAUUUUAAACUUUAAGAACUGAAAAUAUGGUUAAAUUAACAAUCGGACAAGAAAAAUAUCGAUCUUUGGUGUACCAUCUAAAACUGUUUAUGAGCCCCUUCUUCUCACCAUAGGUCAAUACCAAACGUAUGUGUUGCUGUUUUGAUUCGUCAUGGCUUCAAAGCUCAGCUGGAAGUAAAGAACUUACGAUCUGUUGGUGAGGCACUGGGGCAAGCCCGCUUUCAAGCCCACAGGCAGUGAGUCGUAUAGAUUUUACUUAGAUUAUGUGGCACAUCAGAAAACACCCGAGUGGGUGAUGUUUUCAGCUAGCAGUGUAACCAUUUAUAAAGACUGAGAAACCACCUUGUUUUUGUGGUCUAGGCGCUGUAAUUGAAAACCCAUUUCAUCGUCUACAUUAACGGCAGUCUAGACUUGAAGAUCAGCAAAAGAAAUGGCAACAACCAGUUCUCCGUUUGUUCUUCAUAUCCAUGUCUUUUAAGCAUUCCCAUUGUUUUCCUGCCUUUGUUGCCAUGAAAACACAGAGCAGAACCCCGAAGGACCAAGGCCACAUUUUGUUUUUUCUUGAUGUCUCUGUGUGAUUAAGUGUCUUCAGAGCUCUCAGUGUCAUGUUCCAGCUCUCUUCUUACCUUAAUGAGAAAGUGCAGGAAAGAAGUCACUACCCGGUAAGUCUGUUCUUAUUUUUUUUUUCUUGUUCAGCAUGUCUGUUUCAUUUCUCUCUCACACCGCUACGUGAGCGAGGUGCAGCUGUGAGAUGAUGAAGUUUCAGGGAAAGGUGGAUGUGCCAUCCAUUACAGGAGGUGGAAAGGUGCAGAUAAAUCACCUUAUCAGCCCUGCCUUCUCCCCACUGAGCUGAGGGAGCAGAGCAAGAGGGAAAUCCAUCAAGCUCCACAAAUGGGACAUGACUCAGAGAUCACUGUGCCUCUGUGCUGGGCUGUGUACAUACCUUACACCUGCUUUAUCAUUGGAGAAUAACUCGGAACAACGAACAAGUGGAUAUCAUCCUGUAAGAUGCAAAAGCAUCCAGUGAAAACCCCAGACCUUCAGCAAACAGAGCUCAGGACUUCUCAGACAGUGCAUGUAGAAUGAUACAAGACCUGGAGUAGUUUGGAUUUUUUUUAAGUAUGUCCAAAAAUAUGAGAGUCAGGAAAUUUGAGGAGUAUAGAGGAUGGAUGUGGCUAAUGUUUACAGGGCUAGCAACACCAGCCUUUGACCUCCUGUGAGGUUCAGGACCACCUGUACUGGAUGAGCAUCACUCUAGUUGAGUAUCUCCACAUUCUUCAAAAUACAAAACACUGCCACACUGCACCACGCUACAAGAUGCACACAGCCAUUAUUUUACACCCACUGCUACAGUUGUGAGCGGUUGCACUAGAACUUGGACAAAACAGAUGGUGAGCCAAAAUACUUCAUUCAUUCAACCAUCUAGUGACUCUGAGCUGAAAACCUUAAGUCAUCAAGUCAACCAAACACAUACAACCCUGUUGACUAUAAAUGAAAGCAAUGCAUGGACAUGGAUCAAAGUCCUUUUUCACUAUCAGCUGGUGACACCAUAAGACCCAAAAGGUCGGUGAUCGCUUUGAAGGGGGAAUAUUAUUCAUAUUAUAACAUACUUCUUCACAUGGUUAUUACAUUCAUCCUUUAUCUAUACAUAGCAUUAUUUUCCAUUAUAUUUUUCGUGUCUGCAGCAUUGUUACCAAAUAAACCAUGACUGAAUCAUAUGCAGGUUCUGCAACAUCAUCAUUGACUUCAAAAGUAUUACUCUCUCGUGCCUUUUCACUAGUUAUUUUUCUUAUAUUGGCAAAGUAAAAUAAUAAUAAUAAUUCAGACACCCUCUUCUUUCACGAGUGCGUCUUUUCUGCCUGUUGUGCGUAAACUUUAAAGCCAAGUAAAAAAACAUGACCAGAUACUUUUAAGGGCGUGCUAAACAUAAUAAAUUAAUGUCAACUAUCAAUUCAUCAUACGCUCAUCUGUUUUCAGUGAUCCUCUGCAUCUGAGCAUACACAUCCACAAUUACUGUACAGUGUGCACCUAUGGCUCCUUCAUACAAGGUUGCUAAGCAACAAUAAUGACAGUGACCUUUUAGAAAUCAGUGGGAUAUGAACCACCAGUAGAAGGGGACCACGGCACACACACAUACUUUUAGGGCCUCAGUGUUUAUUAUCAGCUGGCAGACUGAACGGACUGACUGAAAACAGCACACAUGCAAAAAAACACACACCUUCACAUAACAUCACGCACAAGCAUUAAGCACAUUUUUGCCCUUGGGGAAAGCAGAGGAGUUAGCAUUUCCCCGCCAGCUCUGAAUGUAGCAGCUUGUCACCACACCCCCUUAAUGUAAGAGCAGUCUAUUGGUAUUCAGCUGCACAGGUAUCUAAGAAAGCAAAGCCUUUAAACAUCUUAACUGCUGUUUGUUCUGUCUCUAGAGGGCAUGUGCAGUACACUGGGGGUUUGGGAAUAGACAAGGAGAAUUGCAAAUUUGUUUUGCCAGCUACAUGUGCUCUGUAAUUCCAUCUCUGAGCUCUGCAUUGUAGCUGAGUGUGUUAGGUUUAUACAUAAACACCCACAAAGGUGGGAUGUUUUGUUUAAUUCUUAAAAGAAUUGGAGUUGUUUAGUUAUGAUUAAUGACUUCUCCACAGGAGAAACAUGAUGCAGACGGCAGAUAUCGUGUUGCAUUGUGUUGUUGUUUUUGUUGUUGCUCUCUUGCUAUUUAUUUCCUCUGAGUAGACAGAAAUCAACAAGUACAUACAAGACAUAACAGAGGUUUGUAUUUCAUAUCUAAUUGGCACAAGACACCACCUCUGUAACAAAUAAUGGAUCACUAAACGCGAACAGCUAUUUGUAUAUACAUAUUUAUAUGACACUCGACAGAUAUUAGUUUUCUUUGCAUUUGAUAAAAUCAAACAAUUAUAGAAUACAGAAAAAUAAGAAACACAAUUUCUGAUUUGAAUGAACAUUUUCUCAAAUAAAUGUAGAUUGAAUAAUUUCACUUAGAUGAGUGAAAUAUUGACACAAAGAAACACUACUUGGAAACUCUUUUAGAUUUGUUAAGUUGUCAUUUAUGGUGUAAGAAAUAUGAUGUAGACACUGGCACUCAGGCUGAUGCGAUGUCCACUCGAUGUGACGCAGAUUAUUCAAAAUAUCAAUACGAUAUAGUCAGCCGACCAAUUGCCUAUAAAGUUUUUGCUUUGUUUUAAUUUUAGUAAAUCUAUGGGAAUCCAUCAGAAGAGCCUUCAAUGGACAAUUUUUGUCCUUAAGCUAUCUGUUAAGUACGGCGGUUGUAGAUAGACUUGAAUUUUUCUGCCGUAAAAGACGAGAAAUCGAUAAAACUAGACAGGACUGAGGCCUGUAAACCAUGCAACCUUGUAUCAUGACAUCAUUAUGUAUGUCAGGCUUAACUCUCGGCACUGUAGCUGUUCGUGUUUUACAGUACAAGCUAUCUGAUGCCUCACUUAAGUUCAGCGCAACAGGGAACAGCUUAAAUGAAAGCAGCAAAAGUUCCCCAGACGGGAAGUGUAAGAGAACAGGAAACCUUCUGUGUGUCUGUCUCUUAAGUCCUGGGCAUGCAUCUGAAUGACAAACCUGUGUGUCUGUCCCCCUUUUAAGAAAUCCUUUACAAGUGCUGAGACACCGGGGCCCUGCUUGUGGAGGCUGUAUAUUUCUAUUCAUAAUUGAUGACCCGGACCCAGACAGACAGCACACUACACAUGUAAUAUGGAUUCACUCCUGGUUUCAGAUGCAUGCCCUCGUCUGGACUUGACUCUGAGCCAUCAUUGUGUGUGGAGAGAGAAGGGUGUGUGGGCACGUGAGAGAAAGAGAGAGAGAGUGUGUGUGUGUCUGCAUGUGUGAAAGUGUGUGUGUGAUAGGGUUGUUGCAGCCUGAAACGUAAUACACCAACCUUGUGUUUCCCAGAUAAGCGUUGACAUGCUUUUGACUGAUAAUUCUCCAGAUGCUUUCACAGUUUUGUGUUUUUCAAAUUUUACAUUUUGUUACAUCGAUUACAUUAUUGCUCAAAAGUUUGAUUUUUUUAUUCUACACUCCCCACUCACACAAGGACCUUGACAAUAUGUAGACUCACAGUGGGUUAGCUGCUACUUUAGUUGCUUCCCAGGGACUCAUUGAUUUAAGUAACUAGGUCCUGGGGCCUUUGUUUAGUCUCACCUUACUGCUUUCUCUCCAUUUUAGUCAAGGUUCAUUAAAGUACAUCUUGUUUUUUCAGAUCCCUCCCUGCUUUCUUUGGCCUUGUGCAUGAUGUAAUCCACUACCUGUGUGAGUGUUGCUGUGUGUUACUGCAGCUCCAGGAAACAUUAAGAGACUGCCUGUCAGAGGUUUGAAUGAAAUGUAUUUUGUUGUAUUUCUUAUAGAUUCCCAACUUCUAAAUAAAAUGUUUUCAUUUAGGUCUUUAUCUGUCUAAAAGUAUGACAGGUUUGAAUAAAAAAGAUCAAGGUUUUCUUCAACUAUGAAUAAUGUGAAGACAAACCAGUUCAUAAAACAGAUUACUUAUGUUUUACUCGGGAAGAGUUCAGAAAUCAAUACUUGCUUGGAUGAACCUGGUUUUUAACUCCGGCUAUUAUGUGUCCUGGCUUUACAUCACCCAUUGCUCUGUUGCAUUGUUAUUAAGAGACAUCAUGUAAAAUUUCAUGUAGCUUGGCUUUGCUCUUGGGAUUAUCAGGUGAUCUCUGAUUGAACCCCUUGUGGUCAAAUGAGGUCCAUCUGUGUUUUAAUUCAUGGACAGUAACUUUACAUGAUUUAUGUAAUGUAAACCUGCAAAUAGAUUUGUUCUCCCUAAAUGUGUAGUGAGCCAGUGGUUUAUGAAAUUAAUUAUGAAGAAUCUUUAUUUUAAGUUACUGUUUGGCUUCUGAAAUCUUAAUUUAUGCAUCAAAUCUGUGUUAAAGGUUGCAAAGGGACCAAAACAGCAAUCACCAAAUGAAAAGCCCAUUCUCACUCCUGAGGAGUGACUGUCAGCGGUCUGAAUUUAACACCUUAGAUUACUCUGAUGUCUUUUCUAAAAGUCAUCCUGAAGACCGUGGAAAGUUAGCAAAAGUCAGGUUUAGAAGUAGUUGAACUCUGCUGUUGAUGUUUUUAUAAAAGAUUACGAAGGGUCCAAAUAUGGCAAAGCUUGCAAGCUUGAUCAGGAUCAGGCUGAUCUUACACUUGAUAUUUGUAAUUCCUACAACUGUAUAACAAACUCAUUCCCCCAAUUUGGCGCUCUGUUAGAUCUAGAUUUCUAGUCUUUGUUUCUGCUUUGCUGUUGCCCCAGCAUCCAUACAUAAGUGCAUGACUCAAGUGCUCGGCCCUAUCACCACCCCAGCAUCCACCUGAAAACUCUGACCACAGAGUUUAUGAUAUUGUCUCAUUGGGCCUCAGUUUCUCUUUGUAAAGGUGAAAUGUGUGUCAUAUUUGACAUAGCUCUGUUGUGAUAAUAAUAUAAAUGUUGUGAGAAACCAGAACAGAUCAGGGGGGUAGUUUGAUAAAUUUUUGUUAUUUAAGUUGAUGACUUUCUUGAUUUCUGUCCAGAUAAAAGCCACGUGUGCUUCAUCUGAAUGAGCCUGUUUCCUCUCUUUGUAUCCUGAUUGAUUCUGCCGUUUAAUGGACUUGUGUGUUCGCUUCCGAGUCUCACUUUCUCUCCUCUGGUCUCAACUGAAGUUCACAGGGGUCAGGGUUCAUACCCCACGUUCCCAUGGCAACAUAUGACACAUCACCCUCAAACAGAAACUCCCUCUCAAUCCUCCGUAAUGGAUUUGACCCCUGAACUCUGCCCCUCACUGCCUUUCAAACUGACAUAUAGCUGAGUGUGAAGCCCUGCUGGCUCUAGCCUGAAGCCAUAUCCUCCAUAUUACUCUGCACAUCUUUGCCAGCGAAGGGUUGAUGAUCAGCUCUUUGGCAGCAUAUGUCAUCAAAGUGAAGAGGCGUGCAUGUCAGGCUGAUACCAUCACCAAAAGCAAAAAAGAAAGAAGGAGCACUUUUACAUCUGUUAUGAUUUAACGUGAAUCAUAAUCUUUACCAGCAGAGCCUGACUCACUGCGACCUCACGCAGUUUCCCUGUCAUCAUUAUGCAGCUUCACCUCACUGCAGCCAAUCCCGUCGUCCAUCCAGCCUCGCUUGCUGCAUCAUUUAUGAGCACUAAUCAGGAUCCCAGGUCUGGUGUGCUAGCCACCCUACCGCUAACAUCACUUCCCUGACCUGACCCUGCCUGUUUCCCCACAGCAUUAACGCGUGUUUACGCUAACGCCUGCUCAUUAUGCCUAACUAUGCUAGGCCAGAGCCUGCUGCCUGAGCUGGAUCUAGGGGCCCUUUUUAACAUGCUCUAACCAGCCCCGGCGCCCCUCCCUCCCCCCUUCCUCCAAUGGGGUACUGAGAGUUGCUACGUGCUAAUCUCAAACAACAGGAAAAGGCAACAUCGGUAGCAAGUCCACAUAGAGGUGGUUUACUGGGAGACAUGGCCUGCGAGGACCUGCGAUCAGCCUCCAUUAUUGUUGUAAUUAGCGCGCCUCGGUGGAGCACAGGCUCCCAGGCAGCGUGCCUCGACCUCCCUGCCUCUCAGUCUGUUUACAGCCAGCCGAGGCAACAGAGAAAGGGCAGGGGGCCGGCCACACGGCUCGAUGCCUCUGUUCGGCUCCAGCAGCAACACAGCUGUUUGUUCAUUUGAAGCGUGGACACAUGAGGGUUUUCGUUUCUCCGCUGUCCGACGCUAUUCAAAUGUUUAUUUUACCUGCAGAACGGGCAAAGGCAAGCUAAACGCCUGAGGAGAUUCAGGGGGGUUCAGAUAGAGUGUUUGUGUUUUUGAUCAGGUAUUCUGAAAGAGUGUAGCAGCAUUAGCCGGUGAACAUCAAUCAAUGUCAGGAUCAGGCCUGUAAAAACAUCCUCUUAACAUUUGAAUUAGUACCAUUCAAAGUCUGCAGCCAUCUGAAGAUGUGUGACAUUAUACAUGGAUGUGUGCACCUCUCUUCUCACACCUUAGCUCCCCUCGCUGCCCCAACUCCUUGACGUCCCCCUCCCUAUCAUUAUGAGGCCACCCCCCUGGUGCGCCACCCAUCCCCUGAUCACCAAUUAGAAAGGCUUGUCCCCUUUCCCCCUGCGCGGAUGCAGAGGUGGAGGAGUGGAGAGGCAGCAAAGGCAGCAAAGGUAGCAAGGCGCGAUUAGGGCAGUGUGAGGUGGAGGUCCCAUGAAGGACAAGGCUCCCUGGGUGGCUGAGCGAUGAGCAGGGGAGCGUGAAGGGCUGAGGCAGGUCUUUCCCACAGACCAUCAGUCCUUUAGUGAGUCAGUCAGUGUUGUAAUGCUUGAGCACAAAGUGUAAUCAGACAGGCUCUAACACAACAAUUUUAGUCUCUUUUUUGUGCAGCUUUUCUUGGAUAAUUUGACGUAUCCAUCCAUCCAUUUUCGACGUAUUUAUUUAUUUAUUUUUUAUGCACAUCUUCUCCUGCCUGUGUGGUAUUUUUUAAUUUCCUCAUCUGUCUCCUUGUUAGGGCGGCUGCUGUUACAUUAUUCUGAUCAAGAUGAGACAUUGUAUUCUGUGUGUGAUCGUGGCCUUCCCCAGUGUUUCUCCUUGUUGUCUCACUUCAUUCCGUCUCUGUCUUAUUGUAUCUGAUAAGAGACCCCGUUGUUGCAGUGUGGUAAUGAAGCCCUGCGUGUUAGAAGAGCAGCACCGCCGGGCAUGCAGGCCCUCGCACACCUCGGAGAGGCAGAGAGGCGCGUGCAUAUCGAUCUUAUAUUGUUUCCUUGAACCCGGCUUGCCUCGGCAUACUUUGUGCUGGCGCUCAGUUCUCUGUAGUCUAAUGUGCUGUCAUGAAUAAAGGCGAGUUACGGUGCUGUGCGAGUGUGAGAGUGUGUUUUAAAAAAUAUUUCUAAACAGAAAAAAGAUCAUUUCAAUCCUAGAACCACUGUUAGACCACUUGUUAAUUUCACUCACUCCGAAUUAUUAAAAAAUUAGUUGUAUUGUAAUAUUUAUCAACAAGGAAGAUGUUUAAAUUUUGAUUUGGACUAAGAAUAUAAUUUGUUAAUGUGUCUGCACAGACGGCAUUAAAGCAGAAGAGUACAUCAUUUCACACCAAACAUAAUUAUGCAGCAAAGUCUGCACCGAGCCCAAUAAAUAAACUAUAGUGCUAAAUAUUUGACAGAAUACUAAUAAUUCUAAUAUGCAUUCAUUAGAGACUACAGGCAUCCUAAUAAAUAAAUGAAUGGGAGGUCCAGCAGCAUCAUGCCAAAGCUUCUCAUCUAUAAAUCUAAUGUUAUUCUGGAUGCAGCCUGUUUACAUGGGGCCUAAUCUUCUCAUUCAUACCGGCUGUGCAUGUGUGUGUGUAUGUGAGUGUGUUUUGCAUGUGAUAUUAAGUGUGAUCUAAAGGGCUAAAGCACCAUCUGGUGGUGAUACAGCACAGUGCUGUGCUCUGAAAUAGGGCUCUCUCUGUGCACUGAUGAACCUUCAUGACCAGGUUAAGACGUUUCUGCAGAUACUAAGGAGACAACUUCAUUUUGAAGCUUUUGAAACUUUUCUGCGUUUUUUCGCAAAACACUUGUUCAAGAGCUUUAUGAGUGAAAUCUGUUUACACGUUUGACCUGGAAAAAAACUUUCAAAGGAGACUUUUAGGUCAGGAAAGAUUAUUUUUAUGUACUGUUUUAUUUUUCAGCUUAUUGUCGUAAAAAUAUCCAGAGAGCAAAAUCCCCAUGCAAAAAAAAAUCUCACAUUUGUUGCAUCACCGGUGCUGAAGCUUGUUUAUUUGCAAAAUAGCAUUAAGGCUUGUCCAGCGUUUUUGACUCACAAUUCUUUGUACACAAAAGACUUAUUUGCUGUAAUGCAUGUAGAAAGGGCCUCACUGUUCUGUCCUCUCUAAUUGGUGCUGUCAGGCAUCCCUUCGCUGGCGUGUUUCACAGUCUGAUCUGAUAACCCAGUCCACAUGAAGAGAGGAGUGAACGACAGCCUGAGCCAAGUUAAAAAAAAAAGAAAGGAAGAGGAAGAAGAAGAGAGGAGAUGCAGGUGGUUAAGGAUGAUCGACUGCCAAGUAGACGACAGCCUGCUCUCUCUUUUAUAUAUAAAUAGUUGUCUUUCACUCGGUAUCUGUGCAAACAAUUGCUGAUCAGAGGUGUGUAAGCAGGUAGAGGGGGAGGGCCUCUAAUGCAACAUGACAAAAGUGCUACUUUGAUAUCGCUCGUAUGAUUACCCUCGUUAGGAGCUAAGUGAUAAGAUAGAAUGGGAAAACAGACAUGAAGGCCUUUUAAGUGCAGGGAGGGGCAUGAUGUAGAAGUGAAUGCAGAGAAAACACUUGAUUUCUUUUACUCUGUCUUUCCCACUAACUCACCAGUCCAAAUUUCUUUGACAAUUUCAACCUUUUUUUAUAAACAUUUCUCAUGUUUCUUUUCUUUAAUUUGGCAUGCAUUUGUGGGUGUGUGUGUGUGUGUUCAGGAAAAUGUGUGACCAUGUGUGUGUGCGUGACAGUAAUACCUGUGUUACAGUCAAAAGUAAGUAACUUCAGAAGUCGAGUGUAUCAUGUUGCGGGGAUCUUCUCUGUGGUGACAACAGUGAUUAAUAAUGGAAAGCAGUUGUUGGCAUCUCCAGCUGAAAUUUUCAUGAAACUUCGCUAACGUGAUUAAAGUGUACGUCUUCCUAGAGUCACUCCGAGUCUUUUAACUCCAAUCUCUGGGGAGGGGCAACAAAUCAUGGUUGAGACAACAUGUCAAAUCGCACAGAAUCUUCUGCACGUCAGAAACAAACUCCUUUUCUUUUUUUCUGUUUGUCCUUGCUGAUAUUUGAACUCCUCAGUUCUUACAUUGAAAAAGUUUGAUUAUUUGCAGCAUUUUACAGUUUUUUUUCUCACAUAAUUUCCUUUUAAGUUAAUUGUAAUUUUUCUUAUAAUUUCAGAAAGCGGGCCUUAGGAAUAUGAUUAAUGUUACUGUUAAACCCUUUAUUGCCAGGUACACUGGGGUCAAGACAAAAGAAAUGUAUUUUAUCACAUUCUAGACCAAGUUUUUCCAACAAUGUUAGGCAUGAGUCAAAAAUCAGAGACAAACAGGUGUCCCAUUUGUAAAUUUGAGCAAAUAAGUGCUCAUUUGUCUUUUUUUAAAUGCCUUGAAAAACCAUGCAGAUCAGUUUUUCUUCACAUGUUAAAGUCUACAUACCCAAAUGUAAGUGUUUCAGUCUUACACCAUGCUGGAAAAUCACCAAAUAAUUUUCUUCCUGAGCCCAGAUAAAUAAAGUUGACUGCCAGCGUGCCAAGUGUCUCUUCCUGUGAAAAAGUGAUCUAUAUUUCAGAGGAAUUUAAUGACAUUUCUAUUUUCUCCUCUCAGAGAGACUUCAGGAUUCAUCUUUAUAUUUUUCUGUAGCGAAUGGAUAAAUGCAUUUGCAGCUUCUGCUCAGCUAAGUUUAUUUAUAUCUUAGGAUGCAUUUAGAAGCCCGGGCUGCUGUCACGGGGAGAUGGCUCUGCUCACUUUGGAUUGUGAGGUGAAAAUGUAUGAAAAAAGGCUUGAGAUGGAGAUUCAGCGCAAAGUAGCCGGGAGUGUUGUGGCAGCAAAAAUAUCAGCUCGCUUAAAUGCUUUCUCAAACAUUUCUUGAAGAGGCACCAAGAUUAUCCGUUAUCUUUCUUUUUUCCCCUCUCCGUCUUCUCUCUUUUAUUUUUUGUCCCCCAAAUUUCUCCUUUUGUGUCUCUCCUUCAUCCCUAAAUUUUCCACACACUUCUACAGAACUCCUCAGCAGAUUUCUCCCCUCUGUGCUCUCUGAAACAGCAACACAGAUUAAAACAGUAUCAGUAUGUUAAUGAUGGGAGCUAAACUUCUUAGUUUUAUCAUUCAUUCCUCAUGUUUGUUCUCACUUGUUUUCACACUUAAGGACAGUAUUAAUUGUAAUUCUGUUACUAGAGAUCUUUCUUUGAAAGGACUGAUUUAAUGCAAACAAAAAAAAAUGUCAGUCUUUUUUUCCCCUCAUUGUUAACAAUCCUCUGAAAUUACCAUAACUGGAAAUUGCAUCAUUCACAUCAGUGUAUGUUAUCAGUACAUCCAAGGCCUGAUUCAGUGUAUCCUAUUCCUUAACUUAUUUGGACCCACUUCUAAUGAGCAUGAAUUUGCAAAUGGAAAUCGUCCUCGGCAAAUGUAACUCUUAGUGUUGUUUAAAUUAUGUUUGAACGAUCAGUUUUUAUUUUCCAAAGUAAAAACCUGUGGAAAUGGGAGUUAACAGCAAAACACGUUUCUGAGAUGAGGAUUAGAGAAGACACUUUAAGGAAGUCAAAUACUUGUCAUAUCCCUGAAGUUCUCAAGUACUGAUGUUUAGUCAAGGCCCUUGUUAAGACCAGAAUAGCGUCCAGUUUCCAGUUAUAGGCAGGGGCAAAUUCUCAGUUCCAUCAUGGAGAUCAACUUAAGUUCAAGUAUAAAAAUAAGUCCAAAAUCAGUGGAAAAGGUGUUGCACAAGGAAAAAAAAGAACGCUUUUCAGCUGAGAGCAUCUCAGAAGAACUGAUGGUUGUAAAUAAAAUUAAAAAGUUGAACGCUGGUGUUUGGAUGCAUCUUUAACGUAUGGAGGGAUACGCCAUAUAAGACAGUGCACUUCAGUUCAUUUCAUAAGCUUAUAGACACAGUUAUACAGAGCAACACUAAACUCUGUACUCAAAUGUCCUGUUUUUGUCUCACGACCACAUCUCUGUCCUUAUUCAGUUCUCUGUUUGUUUGUCUUUUUGUCAUAUUCUGUCUCUAAAACCAUUUAACUGUAAUAUGUUCAUUCGUAAUUAUUUUUAUACUGAGCGCCCUCAUACCUUGGUUACAGCAAGUUAAUAUGCCGCUAAAAAGAUUGAUGUGUUGUGAAAGAAUAUGUAUUGAUAAUAGAAAGGAUAGAAACAAUAUCAGGAUCUGAUAGAAAGGCCUGCUUUAUUUAUUGACCCUCUGCAGUAAAAGAAAAUAAAAACCUGAGUUUAUAUUUGAGGAUUUAUGGGCCUGAAAUAAACACAGGGAGUUUUGAGUAUAUAUUGAUAUGUAUGAACAGCAGCAACCUCAGUCCUCAUCUACAAGUCAUAAGUAAAUAGCAGUGAAGUAAAUUUCAGCUCAGUUUAAACCUCUUUUCCUCUUCCUGAUGGUUUAACAACAUCUACACAGGCCAACAUACCCGGCCUAACAACACCACCUUUACACUUCCUCCUGGAUUAUAAUGUUAUUCAAACUAUAUGCUGUAAUUUGAACAGAGCAGAAGGGCUUGUGCUGACUCAAAUUUCCCUCCUCAUUUGACUCUCUCUACUUCCAAUCCUCUUUAUUUGGGCUUCCAAAGAGCGAGCAGCAUAAAUUGAAUAAAAAGAUGUGUGUAAAUGAAUAUGAAAAGCAAUGUUCUCUUCAGUAGAGCAAUGAUCACUGUUUUCACAUUCCAUCUCAUUUUUGUGUUUUCUCUCCUACCUUUUCACACUCUUCCCCUAAGGCAAUAAAACAGUACUUUUACAUAUAUUACCUUUUGAUUAAUGGAGCUGUAUUCAUUAUUCUGCCCUAUUGCUAAUUAGAAAACGCACCCUGCUAAUGAUAUACAGUUGGAAUAAUACUUGCCCACGAGGCACGCUAUCACAUCAGGUUUCAUGCUCGCUGCUACGAGCCUUUAUCCACAGAUGCCUCCUUCAACCCCGCGCGGCACGUCCAUUAGCAAAAGAGUCACGGCUAAGACUGGGUGUCAUUGUUUUUUUUUCUGGCAUAAUGAGGCCUGUUUUCUCGGGGGAGUUGUCGCUGAGGGUUGAUGAGGUGUGCAAGCAUUGAGUCAGUCUUAAUCAGGAGAUUUGUGAGGGCACAAGAAUGUGUAUGUGUGUGUGUGUGGUCCUGAUUUAUUUUGUAUUGCACAGGUAGAUAUCUUAAUUUUGUGAAAUUUUGUAACAUUAUUUUAUUUCGUAGUGCGGUGCAGACAGAUACAGUGAAAGGGUUAACGUGGUAUGGUAGCAGCAGUAGCCCUGAAAAUGCUCCUAUGUGACCGUCCUGUCAUGGUCCAAACAUCCAAUGGUAGUGACAACCAUCAAUAUCACACCAGCCGACUUGUCUGUACUAAUGCAGGUUUAUUCCCCUGGUCAGGCCCCAACUGUGUUAAUGGCUGGAGGGGUGUGAUGGAGGCGGAGGGGGAGGGGAAGGGUCGUGACAUAUUGGUGACAAGGUAACACCAACUUUUGGGCUGACAUCUGUCAUUUGUCCUCGUAAGACAAACAGCCUCCUGAUACUUUGUAUCUUGGCUGAUGAAAAGGCUAGUCUAUCCAUUUUACACAUGAUCUCAAACAUUUUUUUCUACAUUUUCAUUUUGGCUAGACUCCAAUUUAUUUUUUAUUUUAAAUUUAGAUUUAUUCAAAUACCUUAUUGAAAUUUCUCAACCAGAGAUUAGUAAGAAAAAUGCACUCUGCUCUUAAAAGCUGUGCCUCAAAAUGUUAUCCUAAAUACUCUAGUCUUUUACUGGCAAACAUGUUGUAUCUAAAGGCAGCAAAAUCAUAUUAUCCAACUUUAUCUUAACUGCAAAAAUAUAUUCCAGGGUUCUUGAAAUUUGAGUCAUACCAGUUUCAGAUGUAGUCUGUUUUGGAGAAAAAGAUUGAUAACAGGCCUGUCACAUUACCAGAUUUUUGCCCUCUGAUUAUCAUAAGCAUAAAAUAAAAUGAUAAUGACAAUAUAAUUACAAAAUUCAUGGAAAACGUGAUAGGUAUACAAUGCAGUCAGUCAAAUCAAGAAAAGUUAAGGCAAGGAUGGAGCAAUAUGUUACUCUAUAUACGUAAUUAACUUACAUAUUACCAUUUAUUUGCAGCAAUGUUCACAUCUAUGGUUUGUCUCAUCACCAGCCCUGCAACUGAAACGUUUUUGGAGAAGAUGUUGUCUCAUAAAAUGAUUGUUUGUCGUGCUUUUAUUUUCAAUUUUUUUCCUGUCUUGCAUUUAGUUUGCUACAGCUGGCUCACCAGCAGCUCCUGCUUCUUCUUAGUCCGUCUUCAGUUUUACAGAGUGGCAACUGGCUUAAAGGGGGGGUAACAUACUUUUCCACAUUUACAACAAAAACUGCAAAGUUACAAUGUUUGGUGUCCAAACUACAUGUAUGCAAAUUUUCAAAUCACAAGGUAAACCUAAUUCGUCAAAAUAUUAGAAAAUACAUAUAAACUGCACAAAUCUCAGACAAACACUCGACAAUGCAAGACUGUAGUUUAUGUUCGAGAUUUACUAAGAAUUGUAGACUCUCCUUACUGGUUCAAUCUGUGCUUACAGCGGGAAACAGCGAGCUCUGACACCAGCUGGCUUCCGGAAAGCCUUCGGAGAGGUAGCCAAUCAGAAGAAAGUGGGCUUGUGGAGGGGGGGCCUUAAAGAGACAGCAGCUACUGAAGCGUUUCAGAAGAAGGCUGAAAUAAUGAUAUUUUAAUACACCACUGUGAGAAAUUUGAGGCUUUUUUGAUAUGAAAAUCACGUAAAGCUGUUAAAGAGGUAUCAGAAAAGAAAUCUAGAGUCUUUAAAAAAUGCAUAAUACCCUCCCUUUCCCCCCUUUAAACAAAAACGACUAUAAACUCACAGGAUUACUGUGUACUUAUUUUUUUAUCACAGUAUCAAUAUUUCACUAUUUUUUUAAAUACAGUUAUUGUGAACUGUCUUUGACAUCUUUUUUCAUCACCUGGAGUUGCAACUCCUGUUGAAAUAUUGGACUUAUUUUUUUUUCAACCUUUAAAAAUAGGUAAAAACCCCUUCAGAUUGAGAUCUCUUUUAGAAGGGUGACCUGGCCAAGAGGUCAGCAACACACUAACGACUUACGCCUAUGAUACAAUUUUUGGUCCUUGGGUUUGGACCCCACCACCAAUUACCUAAGACUUGUACCACCCAGUUUUGCUAUAGUUUUGCUAACUUCAUGCCACUAUUUUUAAGAGCAUGAAUGUAAUCUAUUGAGAGAGAAUAAAUUUGUUGUCAAAAUUAAGUACAGAUCACUUUGGACCAUAAUUCCAAUCUCCAAAGAUCAUAUUCAGCAGAUAUUAUAAUAUAGAGUGUGGCAAAACACCUCUCUGUUGUGCUUGAAGGUACAUAUAUUUUCCUCUAGCUUGACAAAAUUGAAAAUUAAACCCAUCUUUUGUGUCUCUGUUUUAACAUUACAGCACUUUCUCCAGGCUGUGUGUCAAACUGAGACUCAUGCACAUGCGCACACAAAAUUGCAGUGCCAGAAAUUACGCCUCUGGUCAGAGCAAAAUAGAGAGCGUGUCUGAGAGAGAGUUUUCUUUGGUUUCAUUUGACCCUGCAAUAAGGGAAGUGAAAAGGCUGUAGUAGCUACAGGAGGUAGAUUAGAGGAGGUCUGCUCUCUGCAGUCUACAGAGAGAAAGUGUCAAAGGUCAUAAAGAAAACCUAGGAAAUGUGCCAAGGAGCCGUUAACACUUCUUUCCUACUUUUGUGGCUCAGAGGUCAGCAUUUUCUAAAAUUACCCCUUCUUAUUUUCUCUUUGCUGCUCUCUGCAAGCACCAUUACAGGCCAGCGCACAGCCAUUAGAGAUCAACAGCCCAUACAGUUGUAAUAGCACCCUCACAUAGCUCUAGGGUCUGCUAACCUAUAGCCUCUGUGCUCUAUGAGCCUGCUGCUGUAGUUCUCACUGAGGUCAAGUAGGUUAGCACUGAGGCUGUGCUGCAGGAGUACAGGCAGUGCAACAAGCAUGUUUACAAUCUGUCCAAGCUCUGGUUAAAUAAUAAUGAUAAUGUGAUGCUUUAUUGAUUCCUGAGGGAGAAUUGUUUAUCCAAAGGGAGUUCACAGUGUGCCUAUUACACUGAUUUCAUUGUCUGCCCUAGGGCACAUAUAGUUUUUAUGCUACAGCUGGAUCUACAGUAAUAACAUCUGUAAACAUCUCUCUUUUGUCUUUUAACUCUGUUGAUUCAAUUGAUUUAACAAAGGAGAUAUUGGUUGAAAAUGGAGCAGCUAAGGCAAAACGGAGACAAAGGUUAGGAGGAUUUGAAAGAGUUGUAAUACUGCAUUGUACUGGAUCCUGUAACUUUCUGAUUUUAGUAACUACAAACACUCUCAAUCUUCUAAAACCUGUUAUAGGGCCCUCCAAAUCCUGUAUGAGGUUGAAAUAGAACAUUAGAAAAGAGUGAUUGUUUGGCUAAUGUAAAUUCAGAAUAUCAGCUCUGUGUGUGUGUAGACCUGUUUCUACAUUAUGAAUCAGAUAAACUUGUGAUAAGAGAUUUAACAACUUUCAGAACUUUGUCAUUUUAAUAUUUAGGUGCUCCCUCUUGUAUUUAGACCUGUUCUGAUUGUUUGGUUAGACGUUCAGCUAUGCUCAGCAUGGGGAAAAAUCUAUCCGGAUUGACACAGAAUUGCAUUGUCAACUAAAAACAUAGCAUGCAGUCGUAGAGGAAGACUUGCCACUACACUAGGCAAGAGGAGAUAUUUCCUUCUUUGUCCCUCUGGACCCUCGAAUCUCACUUUUCCAUUUUGAUCGCAUCACAUACUCAGUACUUACUGAGUCCUCCAGAGAUGGUGACUUGUCUGUCAGAGUGACAUGAAGGCAAUGAAGUCAAAACAUGAAAUCACAGGAGGUGACAACACUGCGAGGACAGAUACAGAAAGUAGCUUGAAUCUUAUCGUCACAUUUGCUGUAUGCAUCACACAAUUUCCUCAGGCUGCCCAGCUCUGUCUUUUCCUCUUUUUUACAAAAAAGAAAAUUAAACUAGGUCUUACAUGUGCAACUCAUCAACUAUCCUAAGGCAACAUAGAGUAAAAUAGUAGUAACCCAUUUUGUAGGGUUUUUGGGGAGGUUUUGGCUGCUUAUGAAACAGGCGUGAAUUAAUAGUGAUGUCUUUUUAUGACCAACAAAAGCAAAGCCAAAAAGGACCAUUAACUACAAAAAUGAAAACCUCUAUGUUUUUGAUUUUAAUGCCUCUAACUAAUAUUAGGUAUAAGAUGAGAUGACUUACAUUAUGCUGAAGAAUCUUUUGUACUUUUCCCUCAAAAAUAUUCCAAAUGAGUGACACAUUUUACUUUUAGAGGAAAGCAAAAAUCAGAAAAUUUGUAAGGGGUAUUACCAUUAUCAUUCCCACAAACUAAAAGUUCCUCACAUAGUCUCCAACAUAUUGACCCAAAUAUUAAACAUUUUUAUCUUCUUUCUUGAUAUAUCUGGAAAAAAGGGCUUAUCUUUCAGUCAGAGUUUUGGAUUUGAUUGCUAACAUAUAGUUUGUUUACAACAGUGGACUAUGCCACUCGUUUGUAAAAUGAGUUCAUGAGAACAUUAAUCAGUACUUGUCAAUGUUCAUUGACAGUAGAAAUGAAAAACUUUCUGUCAAAUGUAGAAAAUGUUUGACCAGAACUGAAGUAUUUAUCAUUAUACACAGGAUCAAAUAGUUACGGGCAAGAAAAAAAACCUAAACCGGCAGCAGAGCCACUUAUUCAAUUAUUUUAUCAGCCAUCUGUAAAAGACCGAUACAGACAAUCAGCGAGAUAUCGGCCCUAAUUGUGCCCCACUUUACUGAAGCCAGCUGUUACAACUACAGCACCAGGGGAAUAAAAGAUACAGAGACAAGUUGAUUUCUGAAACACAGUGGCUUGAAAGUUGGCUAAGCUAUUUAACAACUGAGACAGACUUCUGUUGCAAUUUUAGGAUAACGGUCAGAUAAACUUUCAAGGAUCCAAGAAAUACAUCACAGGUUGUCAAGUCUGAAGAUGGCAAGCCACAAAAGAUUGUCUUCAAAUGUUUGAGUUUGUUAUUAAAAAUUACCAGACCAUCUAUCCACUCAGAAGACUACUUCGGCAUCCAAACCAUAGUUGCUUCAUUUACAAAUGUGACAAGGUUCAGUUUCACUGAAGUGUGACAAUUUACUUAAAAAACAAUAAAUGAAAAAAUUGCCAUUAAAGAAGUGUUAAAAUAACAGAUUUUUUUAAAGUUCAAAAUCUAUGUUUGACCAUUAUUUACUUUUAAAUUGGUUUAGGUGUAAAGUAAGGUUUGAUCUUCAAAAAGUCUUCACUAAAAUGUAAUCAUUAAUUGUCUCAUAUUGAAGUCAUUAUAGUGUUUAUUGUUCAAUAUCUUUCACUGUCCACACUAGUUUGAUUUAUAAACAUUGCAUUUUUUUUUCAAUUUAUUUUUGAACAGCAAGAAAUUUUAUACUUCCUUUUCAAGCCGUGACAUGUCCAAUAUUUCCUGAAGAAAAAAGAAAGUAAUGCCAAAUACUUUCAAUUUGACUGUUUAAGCAAGUAGGACUGGUUAAAUUGUCUGUUAAUUCAUUUUACGGUUAAAAAAAAAGAUAUUGCACUGGAAAAAUAAAAUGCUCCUUCAAAUAGGGGCAUUAAUGUUAAAUAGAUAUCCAUUCUUAGCCCGAUGCUAAAAUGUCAAUACUAAUAUUACAGUAAUCGACAUCACUCAUCAUGACAAAGUUGGUAUUAGUGUCUACUACUGAGAGAAAAAACUAGUUCACAGUCAACAGAGAACAUUACAAAGAUUUUUAAGUUAAGCCUGCCUUUUAAUCGUAGAACAGAUUGUACAGUUGAAAACUGCUGAGUAAAGCAAACAAAGGUUGUAGAAGAAGUGAUUUCUAAACUUAUUUUGCCUCAAUGAAUUUUUUUUAAACUUUGUAUCAAAUAUGUUUUGGAAAAUUUGAAACUCCACUAAAAUACAUGUUUGUGAAAGUGAGUAAUGUGCUAUUUUGGUUUGGUAUAUUCUUUGCAAAAUUUUUGAAGUUUGACAUUCUCCAGUGUUGCUCUUGCUCUUAAGUACAAAGCCUCUCCAUCCUGUAGUUGGUGUUCUUUUCAUUAACAUUUUAUUUAGGUGAUAAUUAAACUUCAUUGUUAACUUUCAACUUUGUUCUCUCAGGUUUGCUUUGUUCUGUCUUCUGCUCCAUACCUCUCUGCUUCUAAAAGCAUCAUGCGAAACCUGCCUCAUCCUCAUCCCCAACGCUUGUUCUUCAUCCCUACAAUGAGUCUUUACACCAGGGCGACCUCAGGCCUUCAAAGAGUUAAGUUGAGGGUGUAGGAGAAAGAGUGCUGGCAUGGAUCCCCAGGACAGCAGGCCAAUUAUAAAAUUAUGAGUGAAGUGUUCCUCUAGAUCCCCCAAAAGAACCCCAUUACCCAGAAGCCUUGGCUUUGAACACCUCUCCCACAUUAAAGAUGAGUCAACCUCCAGUGCUGGCUCCUGUCAGGCAAAGGUUCUGCAACGGAAGCCUUUUCUUCUUCCUCUUCUUCCACAUCUCCCUGAGUGUUUGAGAGCAGCACCACGGAGCCACAGUUUCCUCACAGUGUCGGCUCUCAGGCAGCUCUGGCACUGUGACAGCCAGAAGAAACAGUGAGUGCCACAAUUGACAUAUUCCCCAUCCUUUUGGCAUGUCAUCUCCCUUUUUCUGGACACCUGAUUGAUUCUGACAGCCUAUAUUGGGUAUUUCAUAUGAAAGAGAAUUUGGCGAUUAAAUCUUAAUGAGUUGGAAUUUCUCUCAGUGCUUUUAUUACAGGCCGCCAGUUUUGAACAUUUUUCAAAGCAACACACCCAAAUUCCACUGUUUGCAAUGAAUUAAUAAUACAGUCUUGUCACUGAAGUAUCAUGCAUUCUUUAAUCAGGCUUUUGGGGUCUGAAGCAGAAGCUUCUUGAAAGGUAUUUCUUUAUGAUCAGAACAAUUACAAACUUAGCAGCAAUCACAAAGGGGAUACUCAUAAAGUCAUGCAUACACAUACAGAAAAUGUGUGCGAGUGUGUCAGGCACAAAACAAAACCCUCCGGGCAAACUUUCUUGCCGCCUGUAUCUGAAUUAUACGUCUUGACUGGCUCACAUCAGUUAUGACUUGGGACUUGAGAAGAGGCUGAGGCCAAAGGCUGUGUGAACUGCGAGCACAAAAGAACAGAAGCAGCCGACACGUCUCUUCUUCUGUGUUCUUAAGAUCUCGCCAAGUUGUGGAAUAAACAUCCCCAAGUUUAGCUCUCGACCCCAGACCUCAUACCCCUCCUUUCUACAGCCAGUCUACAUCUCACGUCAGAGUCUUUGGGGAGAACUUCAUAUUUUGUUUCAAGGCCUUUGCAAAGGCACAAAGUGGUUGACCAUGCAUUGGCUGUUAAUGACGCUUUCUCUGCUUUUGGCAGUAAAUGUAAUAUAAAUAUGUUUUACUUUAUUAUCACCUACUUAUCAUCUACCUGUCUUUGAUACUUGAUUCUGAUUGGUCAAAACAGUAGCAGUUAAUUCUGAAUAGGAUCGGUGAAGCCUCGUCAUGACACACUUCAUGUCAAACCCAGCACAUUACAAAUGUUAUGAUUUCACCUCAGCCCGUUGACAAUGUGCUAGUGUGAACAAUAUGGAGGAUUGUUUAAUAUUACUCUCUGUUACUUUGGAGAUUACACUCUAGAUUGGUUAUUGGCCGGCCUAUACCAGCACAGAAGAGAUAAUAGGACUGUACGGAAACUAACAAGAGAGGUUAAAAAAACAAGCUGAGGGACAAAGUCACAAAACAGACAUGAAGCAGUCAAAAACCACAAGGUGGACAAGAUCCCUCCACUGUGUUGGGGUCUUGUCUCACCUUGUUGGUAUUCUGUUUCAUGUAGCCACCCACUCACUAUCCAUCAGCCCUUAAUUUGAUAAUCAUUUCUAAUAUGUUAUUGUUGGUUAAAGCUGUUUGCUGCUGAGUGGAGAUAACCAUAGAUGACACUAAAUUUUGGCUUUAAGAACAGUAAAGAUUUAAGGCUGCUUGAUAAUUUUAGCAUCUCAGCACGUCGAUUCCUGUCACCUCACCACGUGAGAAUUAUUUAUCUGCUGUUGAACUUGAUCCUACAAAACAUGCAGACUGACAGUUUGAGGGUCUGUUUCCAUACUGAAUGAAGUGUCAGAGAUGGUGCGCUUUUAAUUGCUUCAGUUAUUUAGACGUGUCGCAUUUUUCUCCUUGUAAGCUGACUAAAACUGAUAGUAAGCUUCUAAGGGUAAAAGGUCAACAUCAGUGUUGUGGGAUUGACAAUAUAAAAAGCAGCAGAGCCUCCGUAAACAAAUUCGUGACUUAAAAAUCAGCGGGCCAUUGGCAGACUAGUGUUACAUCUUUAUCCAGAGAUCUGUGUAACUGUAUUUUCAACACUGAUUUGUCAGGAAUUUGUGAUGGUAAAUCUUUACACCUCCGAAAAUCAACCCUCCAUAUCUGCUCACAUUGAAGACAAAAUGCAAAUUUGUGUAGGUAGUUUGUUCGGUCUCCUUUGUGUCGGUGUUGACAUGUUUAUCAUGUCUGCGUUUGGCUCCUACCUGGGAACCUCUGUGGCUUCUGUACCACUGCCAGCAAGAGAGACGAGGAGAUGGGACUGUUUUUAUUUCAUCAUCUCAAAUCAUGAUACUGCCUGCAUCACCCACAAUCCUCUCUUUAUCACUUUAACACCCUCUCUGCAUCUCUGUGUGUGUAUGUGCACUGACAUAGUAAUAAAGGGAGAAAAAGAACCAGGUAAAGCAGAAAAAAGAGAGUACUCAGCAAAAUGUCUGAAACGUACUCGCCAUCAAAUGCAGGAAUCACAGCAGGGGCUGUUAUUCUCUGAAAACUGUGUGUUGAAAUUCUCUGGCUGUCUCAUAUGUGUGUAAGUGAGCGCUGACUUUCCCUCGCAGGGCAGAGCAAAAGACUAUGACACCGGGGUUUGGUUUUUGUCUAAAAAGAGAAAGGCCUUUAUGGAAGGAUUGACUUUUCUGUCUCUUUGGAGUUUGCUUUUAAGAGUCUCUUGUGUUCUUCUUUACAAAGUACAAGCUCUGCUGAAAACAGCCCUGUGCGCUCCUUAUGUUCCCGAGCAGAAGAUAGAACAGUUGGUGCCCCUCAAUAAGUUAUACCCUCACCAUCAUCAUCAUCAUCAUCAUCACCCCAACUCAGGAACACGCAACAGUCUGGAAGAAUUUCAGGUAAAAAGGCCUGGCCUAAUUAGUUCCCAUCAAAAAUGUAAUUCUUUUUCUCUGAAUUAUGCCGCAAGGGUUGAGUAGCCAAAAGCGAAGAUACCUGGUGGAUGAAAAAAAAAAAUAAUGAAUGAAAAAAGAUAUUCUAACCUCGAGCCAUAAGUACAUUUAUAUGCUUGACAUGACUCGGCCAUCAAUGUUGGGUCGAAUUCUAAUUUAAUUUCUGAGAUGUAUGUGUAAUUUUGCCAUUAAUAUGAAUGUUAGCACCCUAAAUAUUUUACACUUCUCAUGGAUAUUGUGAGUGUCUCAUAUAUCCUUCAAGAGUGUAUUAAUUAAUAAACUCCUUUCUGAUACUUUUUUUGUGCAGGAAACUUGUAAUAGGAGCAUGCAGGUAGGAUGAUGUAGAGAGAGCAGCCAGAACAGAGUUGUCUGGUGCCUCAUUAACAUCCCCAGUUCAUUAGGAGGAGGCUUUUUUCUUGUCAUCUUUUUACAACGUGCCAAUGUUGUGUGGCCUUUAAGCUAAUUAAUAAUUAAUUAAUUAACCAAAUUAAUUCCUAGGUUAGAGAUGUUGUUCAGUAGUGAGGCCAGUCGGUUUGGAUUUGGGCCCCGAUGGGUGAGGCCCUUUACAAGCUGAUGUUGUUCAUGUUUCUGACAGUGCCAGCCCCCCGUCUAAAAGCCCUAGCAAGUGCCAUUUGUCUCCGGGUUAACAGAAAGACGAGAUAUAGGGCGGGCUGAAUAAUUUAAGCUCCCACAACACAUGCACUUUUGCUUUUCAAGCAUGAGUUAUAAUUUAAUUAGAAACUUCUGGUGCGUUGCUGGCUAUUUAAAUAUUAAAAUCUUCCGCUGAUCACAUUGGAUUAGCCAUCCCUGUGAAAUUCCCUGAGAUGUCAGUUGUUGUCUUUCUAUCUCCCCUCUCUCUCUCUUCCCCCCACUUCUACUCUCACUCUCGCCGCUUUCUCGCAUUUCCGUCUGUGUUUUCUGAACUCGGCGCGCUCACAGAUUGUUUGUCGACUCCUCCAUUAGAGACAAUGGAGGGAGGCGUUGUGGACCUUUGGGAGCCUUAAUGGGCAUCAGUGUGCGUAAGCGUGUGAAUGGCUGACCUGAUCUGAAUGAAAAGAAAGAGGCUGUGCUCAUUAUCAGCUCUGGAUUGCAGGAUGAUUACAUUAGGAUGCUCCCCUGACGGUGGUAAAACAAGGGGUGGUAGUGGAGAUGGGUAUUAGAGGUUGACACUGGAUUCCUAUUGCCAUGUUGGGGCCUGUUGUCCAGCUGUUUUUGUCCCCUGAAUUUAAACAGUGCAACCUGUUGACUUGAGAUGAUGUGUCUUUUGCCUCUGUGUCUUAGUGGAGCCAUUUAUCUGCAAAGGCAUGGCAAGUUUAUUUACAUGGCACAUCAUUGCAAACAAGGCAUACAGAUUUUAUAAAACAUUAGGGCCUGUGCCUAGCGACUUUUCUUUUUUUUUUCUUCUUUUUUGCACCAGCAGCACCCAUGUCUCAUGUAAAACUAAUGCAGUUCAGCAUUGUCACUGCUUAAUGUCUUGAGAAAAAUGCUCUCAGUGCCAGUUUUGUUGUUGUUCUUACACUGUCUAGGUUAAAAAUAGUUAAGUGCUUGGAGCUGGGUGUCCUUAGCAGUGUCACCUCUUCUUAAGGGAACAGUUUCUAGGAACAAGUUAUUUCCUUUUUAUUUUUUCAUUUUCUCCACAAAAUUUUAUAAAACCCAUGAAAGAGGAUUAGGGCCACAAGAAGAAAAAAAUAAUAAUUACAGGAGAAAACUUAAAAUUUCCAUUUUGAGAUUAAAGUUGAAAUUCACAAAAGUCGAGAUGAAAUGCCGUGUGGCUUAAAUUUGUUGCAGCCAUCAAUGUGCCCAAGCACAUUGGGUCCUCAGCUUCAGUAAUGCCUGCGUCUAGGACGCAGGGCUCGUCUGUGCUCCACGCCUUCAGGAUCAAUCAACUUGAUCAGUUGUCUCAUUUUAUCUUGCGAUACAACAUCGCUUCACUGGUGUGACCAUCAAUAACCCUGCAUCUGCAUCACAAUCUUCUUCGGUACAGUCUUUUCAUUACCUUUAAUCUCAACAUUAUGAAUUUAUUCAUGAAAUUUUGUCUUUAAUUGCGUCGACUUUAAUCUCGAAAUUUCGGCUUUAAUCUUGAAAUUUUGACUUCAAUCUUGUUUCCGUAAUUAUUUUCUUUCUCUUCAUGUGGCCCAAAUCUUCUUUCGUAAUAACUACAUAUGAAGCUUACAGAGAAAUGUAAAACAGCCUUGAUGGUUACUGCUAAGAGAAGCAGACAUACCAUCAGACUACUUUCAUAACACAGCAGGAGAAAGUGCCCUAAAAAGCACUAUGAAACUGUGGUUGUGGGCUCCAGCCCUGAAAAGGCAGUAAGUGUACACAGGCCCUUGUCCAAAACUAAGCUGAUAACACAAAUGACACUAAAACCCGACACCAUUACAUUUCAGCAGGAGAAACUUUACCUAAAAAUAAUCAAAGAAUAAUUGUGUUUAUCACAACUACUGUAUCUUUGGCUUGAGACUGUGUGAAAGAGUUAGGAGUGGCAGGAUUUAUUUUCACAUCAGCAUGUGAAGUUUAAUGGAAAAGGAUAAAAGAUGGACAAAGCUAGAGAAAUGUUCCAAAAAGUAAAACUAAUAGGCUGAAAAAGUAAAAUGGAUUUAUCUGAGUAUUCUUGAACACAACAGUAAAGUAUUAUCCAAUACGCUUGAGUACAUGUAUGUAGCUCCAGUAUGCUAUAAGACAAAAGCACAGCUAAACUAAAGUACAGGGGAAUCAACUUGAUCCCCUUUUGGCUCCACAACUGAUGCUUGUUAAUAGGAUCUGAUCGAUGCAGACACUAUCAGCAUGUAGAGUCUAUGCAAAGCCUCACUAUUCAGUUUAUGUGUGAGUUAUGGGUGACAGGUUGCUCAGUCAUCUCCCCAGUCAACCCUGUGACACACACACUCUAUCACCAGUGGCAAAGAUGUACUAGUGAUUCCUAGCUCUGGGCCAACUAUCUAAUUAUAAACCAGCAUCUACUUUAAUCUUCUGCUUCAGACUGUUAUUGAAGCUACAUGUGAGCUGGAGCCCUGCUUUCCUGCUGCCGAAACAUAAAAACCUUAGCUGCCUUUGAUUCAGGAAAAGCUCUCACGUACCUUACUUUUGCUUCCUCACUGUUUGCCUGUGUGUGUUUAUGUCUCCCUGUGUAUUCCUACCUGUCAUUUUGUGCAUCUGAACAGGUGUAUUUGUCUGCUCACAGUGGGUGAAUACAGUGCUCUGUUUCUCCAAACUCUGGGAGGGGCCCUGGCAGUAGCGCUGCGAUUGUGUGUCAAUCAGGCAGCGCUGCAGACGGCCUCUCAGGCCCCCCAUAGUGUGGGGUCCUGUUCUUCUUCUGUCUCAUGCUGUCAUUCAGAAUCCUUUUCAUCUCUGCCUCUGUUCCUCCCCAAAUCCCUCAAUCAGGACCAUCAGUCAUUCUCUGAGAAACAUUUUGAGCAUAAAUCUCCUUUAUGAACAGCUACUUUGAAAUUGAAAUAUUUACUACAAAUCAAGCAUGUUUUCAUAUAUCAGGUUAAAUAUCCUCCCUACUGCUAACAUCACCUCACCUCCUACAGGUGCUUACACUUUGAGCUCUGUUUUGAGCUCAUGCCUUUUUUUUAUAUUUUUUCACAUCCUGAUUUCACUGUACAAUAAUGAAUCCAGAAUUCCACAGCUAACCCAAGUAAAAUUCUCAGUUCAUAUAAACAAACCAGCCAUUAAGACUGAUGCUCUGGUAACAACAUAACCCACCUGUAAUGUAAUGACAACUACAUAAUGACAAUAGAAAAUUAAGACAAAGUUGAAUUUUCCUUUUGACUCACCUGUUAAUAAGUUAAAUCGUAAUUGCAAGUUUUGGCCUCUUUAGUUGUUGUACAUGUUAGUUUAUCAACAAAUAAGUUAAUAAAAAGUUAAAAGUGUCUGGUGUCUCAUGUACAUGGCCCACCUGUAAUGUACUGAUAUGUAAUUUUUUUCACAAUUACGCUUCACUUCACUGCACUCUUCAUUACUGCACUAUCGCACUACUGUCUUGUACUUGUAAGUUAAAUGUCGACUUUGAUUUGUACAUAAUUUGUGAUUUCUGUAAUUUUUCUGAUUAUUUUAAUUAUUCCUAACUUUUGUCAUUUUUCUUGACUUUUGUAAUAUUUCAUGUUUACUGUUAGUACAUGAUGGGCAAAGUUUACCGAAGUCAAAUUCCUUGUAUGUGUACACAUACUCGGCCAAUAAAGCUGAUUCUGGAAACUUGAAAAACUAUUUGGCAAAUUUGGAAAACCCUACCAUAGACUUUUAUGUCUUCAUGCAAAGAACAAUGCACAGUGAAAAAAAAAAAAAAAAAAAAGCGGUGAUAAAUGUAAACCAGAAUCCUGAAGGGGUAAGACAAGAACAAAAUAUACACGUUUAGCCAACGGAUUUAGCAUGUGUCAGGACUAACAACUCUUCCACAUAUUGAUUUUUUUUAUUAUGUGUUUGAUCUGAUUGUAUCCAACGUUGCUCUUAUUAUUCAGAAUUAAUCACCAUUGUCAAGGGGAUUAACAAUGGUCAUGGCCAAUCAGAAUCAAGUAUUUAAAUAUAAAGUUAAACUAAUUACAGUGAUUUUAAUAGUAUUGAGACACACUAGUGUGCUUGCGCAAUAUACAGUAUAUCUAGCUCUCCUUGCAUAGUGUGUAUACAGUAGUAAACUGUAGCCAAAGCUUGAGAAUUUUUUAUGAAGUAUCAGUCAAAUGUUUAUGUGCUGCACUGAUGAUAACUUUAUGUUUGCUUUUCCAGAACUUCUCUUUUGAUGUAAAAGGUCAGAAAGUUGAAGCUAAUAGUGUUGGAAAUGUCUAGGCACUUGGUUCUCUCAGGAAGCGGCUGCAGUGCAGAUCUGUCACUGAAUCAACUCUGAUUCAAGACAAGCUGUGAGCAACAGAUUUUCUUUAUCUCAUUCAGGUUAGAGUUUUUGGCACAUUCUUAUUUUCUGUUUGACCCUUACAGUGACUUCAGUUUGCCUUUUAAUGCCUCUUGUAAUACCCAAGAGGCCAGUAUGAUACAACUUGUAGGUUACAAAUAAAUUUCUCCUUUUAUAUAAGAGUGGUAAAAGGUUAGAAAAAUAAUUCAGAAGGAAAUAUGCUUGUAUUUGAGAUACAUCUAUUGCAAUAAUUAAAGAGUCCAGCUCUCUCUGUUCAGCCUUUUCUCUCUGCAGACUUCUCCAGAUGUUGUUUGACUUUUAUUUGCUUUAAUUUUUCAUCAGUUUGCACAGCUGUAAGGGUUGAAUUCACCAUACACAUGAAUAAAAAUAUACCCCUGUAAACAUUAUUGUGUUUAGUGAUAUCUCUUGGUUGCCCCUGAGAAAUGCUGGCUAAUCAGAGACAAAGAGAGAUGAAGGAGGACCAUAAAACGCGAUACUCUCCAGAUGCUCACACUGUCUGAUACUGUAGUAUCAUAAAGAUGGGAAGAGGGGGUCAGAGAGAGGUAAAGGUUCAUAUUUUUAAAAGGCUGAUUGCAUGAAUGUCUUGGGAUUUCUCUUUUUUUUUUUCAAUUUUGAAGAAGCACUCAGAGACUAAUUCAGUUCAUCUGGCUCAAAAGUACUCAGCAGCUCUUUGCUCUUAAACUUACUCCUACCUUCCCCAGAUUGUAUCUUUGGACCUUUACACCAUGAAUUCUGUCAUAUCUGUUGAUAAACUAACUUGUACAAAAAAUAAAGAGGCCAAGAAAGGCCAUAGUUGCAAUUACUAUUUAACUUUAAAUGUGAGUUAAAAGAAACAUUCAACUUUGUAUUAACUUUAUAUGAGGUGUUGGACCACUGCAACUGCAUUUCUGGUGUCUUUGAUCACUUUGUGUCCAUAGCAUAGAUAUACACUCACCGGCCACUUUAUUAGGUACACCUGUCCAACUGCUCGUUAACACUUAAUUUCUAAUCAGCCAAUCACAUGGUGGCAACUUAGUGCAUUUAGGCAUGUAGACAUGGUCAAGACAAUCUCCUGCAGUUCAAACCGAGCAUCAGUAUGGGGAAGAGAGGUGAUUUGAGUGACUUUGAACGUGGUAUGGUUGUUGGUGCCAGAAGGGCUGGUCUGAGUAUUUCAGAAACUGCUGAUCUACUGGGAUUUUCACGCACAACCAUCUCUAGGGUUUACAGAGAAUGGUCCGAAAAAGAAAAAAUAUCCAGUGAGCGGCAGUUCUGUGGGCGGAAAUGCCUUGUUGAUGCCAGAGGUCAGAGGAGAAUGGCCAGACUGGUUCGAGCUGAUAGAAAGGCAACAGUGACUCAAAUAACCACCCGUUACUACCAAGGUAGGCAGAAGAGCAUCUCUGAACGCACAGUACGUCGAACUUUGAGGCAGAUGGGCUACAGCAGCAGAAGACCACGCCGGGUGCCACUCCUUUCAGCUAAGAACAGGAAACUGAGGCUACAAUUUGCACAAGCUCAUCAAAAUUGGACAAUAGAAGAUUGGAAAAACGUUGCCUGGUCUGAUGAGUGUCGAUUUCUGCUGCGACAUUCGGAUGGUAGGGUCAGAAUUUGGCGUCAACAACAUGAAAGCAUGGGUCCAUCCUGCCUUCUAUCAACGGUUCAGGCUGGUGGUGGUGGUGUCGUGGUGUGGGGAAUAUUUUCUUGGCCCUCUUUGGGCCCCUUGGUACCAAUUGAGCAUCGUUGCAACGCCACAGCCUACCUGAGUAUUGUUGCUGACCAUGUCCAUCCCUUUAUGACCACAAUGUACCCAACUUCUGAUGGCUACUUUCAGCAGGAUAAUGCGCCAUGUCAUAAAACUGGAAUCAUCUCAGACUGGUUUCUUGAACAUGACAAUGAGUUCACUGUACUCAAAUGGCCUCCACAGUCACCAGAUCUCAAUCCAAUAGAGCAUCUUUGGGAUGUGGUGGAACGGGAGAUUCGCAUCAUGGAUGUGCAGCCGACAAAUCUGCGGCAACUGUGUGAUGCCAUCAUGUCAAUAUGGACCAAGCUCUCUGAGGAAUGCUUCCAGCACCUUGUUGAAUCUAUGCCACGAAGAAUUGAGGCAGUUCUGAAGGCAAAAGGGGGUCCAACCCGUUACUAGCAUGGUGUACCUAAUAAAGUGGCCGGUGAGUGUAAAACACAAUUAACUAAUCUGUCCACUUAAAAUGGUGCUGUGAUCCACCUGUUUCUACCUUGGAGGUACUGUUCGAUACAAAGACAAUAAAGUGUAGUUUGUUCCUACGAAGUUUAUAAGAGUUAAGUGUUAAGCAGCAAGCAUAGACUGUGACUUUAUGAUUUUGUUGAGAGAUAAAAUUACAUUUGAGUAGUUAUUAUCAUUGAUUUUUAAAUCUGACUGUUUUCUGUCGCCCUUGUUAGUCAUGACUAAAGUUUUUAUCUUAUAAUUAUAUCAUUUCAUGGAAUGAGGCCAAUGAAACUGUUUUUUUCAAUGAUUAACUGCCUUUUGUCCUUGAGAUUUUUUUUUCUCUUCUGCCUCUUUUUGUUUGCUUCAAUGAAAAUGUUUUGAGUCAGUGUUGUAUCAUUGUAAUAAGCACAUAGAACAAUAACCCAGCCUUUGACUGUCUUAAGGUAAUAAUAGAGCAUCACAAUCAGUAAAUAACAUUAAAAAAUAAAAAUAAUUGUGACUGCAGCCCUUCUUAGCUACUGCAGCAACCGUAGAAACACUUUCAGUCUUGCGAGUCUGUAUUGUCUUUCCCUCGUAAGUGAGCUCAUCUACUCCCAAAUUUUCAGUCCAGCUCUGUCAAAGAAAAGUCAAAGGCUUUUUCUUGGCCAGAGGACUAUCAUAUGACUCCGACGAUUAAUACAAAGGCGAAUGGUGGACUUUAAUAAUUAACUCUGCGUUACAUUUGAAGAAUGCUCACCAGGCGUGAGAUUUAAAAGAAGCUAAUGUUUCACUAUCAAACCAUUUCACCCAAUCUUCAGAACAGAUGUGUGUGCAGAGGAGGACAUUAGUUUCCACAGCAGGCGCUGAAAAUAUGCCUGCGUUCCCCUCAUCAGCACAGAAGUCAUGGUUUGUCUUGAGGGGCCAAGUGUCUCCUUGUGACUGGCCAUUGGUUUUAAGUGGCUUGUGCAUUUUUCAUGGGACAGUGGUCGCUGGGAAUGUCUUGUCACUCUAUUAAGGCCUAUUCAAAUGGUAGCGGCCAUAAAACGAAGCAGGCACUGAAAUAUUCAUUUGAUAUUGCAACACACCGCAGUGUGUGUGUUAAUUAAGGAAAGAGCUAUAUGCUUGAGAUGGGACAGGGCUCUCAGUGUGCCAGAAUGCUGGAAGAUGAGUUUAAUCAAAGUGACACUUGGGCUUCCCGGCUCCAGGCUGGUGUCAAUAUGUACAUCUUAUUUUAAAGAGUGCUAGUGUGUUCAUAAAACAGAGACUAAACGCUGAACUAACAACACGCAAAAGCACUCUUUGACAUUUCCUUUUUUUUUUACAUCAGUGUAUCAUUCAUGCAUUACUUUCAUGUGUACAUUAGCCGUGUGUUGUUUAGCAUUAUAUUUGACCUCUAAGGCGCAACAUAAAAGCAGGUAGCAGCUGUGAACCGUUGUGGCGGGGUGAAGUCCAUUAAGAAAAAGAGAAGUCUUUUUUUAACAAGCUGUUCUGGCCAUUUGACAGGGAAAAACCUUAUAUUUGGACAAACACUCAGAUGUUAACUAUCUGGCAUGUACUUAAGGGUUAACUGUGUCCUGAAGGCUACACCCUGAAGGGAACAGGUGUUUGCAGCUAUUCACUGGUGGUUCUACUGCUUGUUAUUUACCAUGAUUGGAUCUAUAUUUCUAAAAUUUCAGCUAUGAGGUAGCCAAUUUGAUGAAGACUGCACGCUUACAGCAGCAGGGUGUAUGUUUCCCUCCUCUUAAUAUUUUGGACUUCCUGUGUUGUUUGUACCCAGUGAAAGAAAGUUGAUUAUUUUUCAUUCGAUUCAGGUGAUCUAUUAUAAUUUAUUUUUAAUUUCUUGUCUAAUUCUAGCUGCAAGAUUGUGCAGCCUCACAUUUGAAAUGAUCAAAAUGCAAACCCUCAUAUCAGACACAAAGCUUAAGGAUUACAAGGCUAUUUCUGUUUGUAUAAAACCAACUGAAUAACACAGUGUAAGUGUCAUCCCUCUCCUCUCUCUUCCUUCUUUUGGCUUCUUUAUUACCGCUUCACCGUUCCUCGUCUCUCUGUAGGACAGGCCAGCGAUAAUAUACCCUAUCCUCCAUCUUAGAGCUUAUUAACCUUUUUGUUGGAAUAUCUGGAGCAUAAAGACCUCAUUAAAUAUUUACAUAUGCACUAAGCAGUAUGAAAAAUUAAGAAACCCAAAGUUUUAUUAACCUGUAGUAAUAUAAUGUCUACUCUUGGCCAACAAAAAAAGGGUCUUUUUUGCACAUUAAAGCAUUCUGUAGUGCAUAAUAAUGUAUGAUAAGAAGGCUCCCCUUGCAUUGAUUAACUCUGCUUUAAUAUAACAUUAGGUUUCCCUAAACUAGCUUUAUCAUAGAAUUAUGCUUUUAAUACAAGGUGUGGGGAUGAGGGCAGAGGAGGGAGCUGUUUAGCCUGCAGAAAUAAAACAUUGCGACAAUCCUUAAUUAUCCAUGGUUGUGUGUGUGUGUGUGUGUGUGUGUUGUGACAUACGUGAGGACUUCUGAGAAACUCAUACGCUCACUAUUCAUGAAUAUAUUAGAAGGCGCAGCAUAAAUAUCUGUCCCUGCUAGCCAUGCUGACCUCGUCCCUCCAUAGGUGUAGUUGAUCCACAACACUCAGCCAUUCAAAUGGGACUAAGUGGCUUUCAAUUAUUCAAACAUAUAUUCAAGAAAGGCCGUGUAUUGCUCCCUAUCACCUGCUCCUGACUUUCUACUCCUCUGCCACGCUGCUCAGAGCUGAGACUGAGCUGGCUGAAAUGUUCAGAUUUUACCAUCAGCUGUGUAGACAGAGGAUGAGGCACAAAUAUCUCUGUCACUGCUGUCCUCACAGACCCUUUCGGUCCUCUAAAUGUUUCCUCUGUUCUCUGAUAGGGACUCAAACGGGCAGGUUCCCAGAGAGCCAGCGCUUUGAUUCUGUCAGUGCUGCAUGCAGAGCAGACCAUGCUUCAUAGCUGCACACCUGCAGGCAUUUACACCUGUAUGUCACCAGUGCAGGGCAGAAGAUGAUGUGAUGGUAAGGGUUUUAAAGUGGGAGCAGGAUCCAGGAGGCCUUUUGUAUGGUCAUGUCUUAGACGUAUGGGCCAAUAACCUCUACAUAUAUUUAUGUGACAUUUUAUGGGUUUCAGUUUUUUUAAAAAACAAGAAUUGACAUUAAAAACUUUGCAUUAACGACUCAAACAAACAGGACCAUCUGGGAUUAUACAUAUUAUUUCUAUAUAGUUAUUGUAAUACACUGGUAUUUGACAAAGUGGGUAAUACUGCAAUAAGACUCUUUAACUCAUCCACCCCUGUUAGAGCCACAGUCACUUACAUGGACUAGCCUGCCAUUCCUACAUUGUUGUUAUAAAUACGGGUACACAUGCUUAGGUUGUAAUUAAGUUAUAUUAAGCACAUAUUAGUAUCAUACAAUAUUUUUAUCACUUUUGCACAUUUCUCCUUUGCACAUCUACACUUACAGAUUCUUUCAUCUGAGCACAUACUAUUUAAGUACUCAUAUUCAUUCAUUAUCUUGUAUAGUCUUGUAUAUUUUAUCUAUUUUUUGUAUUUCUCUUGUAUUGCUUGUAUCGGCUACUAUAACAACCGAAUUUCCCCUCGGGGAUUAAUAAAGUUCUCUAUCUAUCUAUCUAUCUAUCUAUAUCAUAUUCAGUCCAAGUGCUUUUAUUUAUUCGUUCGUCAGAUAAAAAAACACUUCAAGCAAUCUGAAACUCGAAAAAUCUGAACAAUGUGGAAAGUUUUUCAUAUGUUUUCUAUGGAUUAGAUUAAAAAAUGAAAUAUUUCAAGCCUUUUUUUGUUUGAAUUUAGAUGGUUUUGGCUUACUGCUUGUAAAAACCAGAAAUUGAAAUAUUUCUAAGAUCGAUUGAAAAAAGGUUUAAAAAACUGAAAUGUCAGACUGCUGACGUUUAUCUAAACACUCAUUUCUUGGUUGGCACUUUUUUAUGACCAAUCAGUUCAUUUAUGGGCUUUAGGGCUCAAUUAGCCUUCAGCUCUGCUGAGGCAUUACUGCUUUAUAGUGGCUGUCAACUAGUCUAUUGUUUUGAGUGUAUAGUAUCUCUCACCUUCCUCUUGACAAAUAUCCCAUAAUUUUCUAUGGUCAACUAAUCAUUUAUUAGUAAUUUUGGCGCCAUGGACAGGUGCUGUGUCUGCUUACUGGAAAAGGGAAUUGGCAUCUACACCAAGCUUGACAGUAGAUGCAAGAACAAAGCACUGUAAUAUCUCCUGAGUGAAAAAAAAAACAUUGUGGACCAACAACAGCAGAUGACAUGGCACCUUGAAUCAACACAGACCAUGGAAACUCCACGCUGUACAUCUAAUGCUGCGUUUGAGUUACCUCGAAAAUUGCCAGCGUUUCAGUUACCAUAUUCAGUCAGUUAUCUUGUCCAAUAUAACAAAAACAAGGCAAGCACUAAAAUAACUUUAUAAGAUGUAGCCAUCUUGUUUUCGCCUCCAAUUUUGCGUUUUUCCGACUUGGUAACUGAAACGCUGGUAUCUCGGGUGUGACGUCAUUUUCAGCUCCGACAUCUGACUUCCGAGGAAACUCGAACGCAGCAGAAGACCUUGGGGUAUCAGGAGUGUGACAGCUGUAGCCUCCUCUGUGCAUGAAGCCUCUCCAUUCAUUGACAUCAGCCUCAGUCCAUUCUUUGUCCACUCCCUUGAAUCAGUUUUUCUUGAGACUCCCCUCACAGCUGCUGUAAUUCCUUGUUACUUGUGCACCUUUUCCUUCUAUACUUUCUGCUCACAGUCAACUUUCCAUCGCUAUGCUUUGGUUUGGCACUCUGGCUCUGUGGCUCUGUGUAGUUUGUUCAUGAUCAUCUUUUUUAAAUUAUCAAUUAUCAAUGAUGAAGGAUGACUGUCUGAAGUGGAGGAAGCAACGGGAGCAGGAGCGCGAUGCAACAGUACACUCGCUGAGCGUUACACCAUGCAGGCGAAGGUGUUUUGUCAUGUUUGUCAUGCAUCCUCCUUUGGCAGAAUUUUUUUCGCAGAUGUUGUUCUGUGAUACUCCAUCUUUUAAAAUUAAAAUGAAGCCAGACUGUCAAGCGUUUUUUGCGGUCCAUGCUCAGACGAGUGAUGUUCUUGCAAGUGGACGCACAGAGAACGCCGAGCGGUGUGAUACACGCCUGGAAAACAAACUGGUGUGGGCAUUCAGAACCAAGAAAGAAUCGAAAUUCAAAAGUCAUCGUAAUGGUUCUGGGGCCGGACAUUAGGAACCAGUUCUCAGUACUGAACCCUACCUAUGAUUGUGGGAGCAUGUUAUGGGUUGGGUGCCAACACAGCUUUGUUAUAAAGCUGUUAAAUCACAGUGGAGCAGAACAUAUGUGCCAUUUUUGCUUUAGUCAGAACAGUGUUCAGGACUUUUGUCCCAUAAUAACACAAUUCUGAUAACCUGCAAUAGAAAUGAGUUGAACAGCUAAACUAAGAGAGCCUCAUAGUUGUUGGUCUGUUUGAAAUAAAUAAGUAUUUAUACCAAGGACAGUGCCAAAAAUAAGGUGAUAGAAUGCCAGCAACAGUAUUGGAUCACUCCAAAGUAAGAAUUUCAUUUCCCUUCAGCUUGAAAAUUACUCAAGAAGAAAAGACAAAGUUAGAAUUACCACACAUGAUGAAAAGCUUGGAAAAUUAAUCUGAGAUAAUAUAAAAAGUUGGAGAUGAGAGGUGACUGACAGCACUAGGUUUUUAGUUUUUAAACUUUAAUACCUCUAGUGAGUGCUGCAGUAAAGUACAGUGUGGUCUGUGAGCAGCGGUAAUAGAGUGAAGUCCUAUUCAAGCAGUCAGGCAGAGGGGUAAGAGAUGAGGGGAGGCUGGUGGUGGAGGGGGGAUAGGGAGCAUUGUAGAAGUAACAGAGAGAAAAGGCAAGGAGUACAUAGUCUUGAGUGAGACAGAGAGCAAGUUCAGGAGUGUGGAUAGUUAGAUAGCGAGAGAAACAAGAAGGUUAUCUAUGAUUUAACGCCUGUGGGGCCCUGAGAUGAGCCUUGCCUGUUCAAGCUGCUGUGAUUGCUGCUUGCUGCUGCUUCAGACUGAGGCCUUUCAGCUCAUUUCAUCAUGGAGCUCCUAAUGAGGCCCGGGCCGACUCCCUGGGCAUGGGGGCUGCAGACACACCUCCGAUGAAGGGGUACUGAGGGGCUCCAGAUUCUACCAACAACACCAUCAGGUCCUUGGCCUCUGAAGGGGGGGAGCAUGAGGAGGGAAAGUGGUGGUGUAGGUGGUGGUGGUGGUGAGUGUUGCUCCAGGGUGAGCUUGGAGACCCACUUUGUCCCGAGGCUGUGUGAAAAGGUCACUGCCUGUGAGGAGUACCCACAGGCCCCCGCUGCAGGGUGUCUGCAGGGAGAGUUGUUUUUGUUCAAACAGGAAGUGGCAGGUUAAGAGGAGCGUGUCCAUCAAAAAUAUGUCUGCUGUAUGCUCACAUGGAAGUGGGAGCUUUUGUUUUAUUGUUUGUUCCAGUGUACUCUGUAAGCACAGUUUGCCACUUGCCAUGUGUCAAAGCCUCCUUUGUUCGGGGUUUGACUAAUGAGCAAAUAGAUGUAUAAAGUGAGAAAUAAAAAGUGCAUUAAUGCCACAUCACGCAGAUUCAGAAUUGGCCACUUGAAGCAGGAUCCACAAUCAAGUCAGUACCCCCUUUGCCCCAUAUUGGGACACCCAACUCUGAGGGUCCUUUCACACCGGGACCGUUUUAUUGUGCGAUUAUUUCAGACGUCAAUAUUUUUUUCCGAACCUGUAUCCUGUCAGUACAAAUGUUCACAUCAGCGACGUUAUUCCGUCCUGUGAUAUUGCGGCAUUUAUUUUUUUCGGAUCACGGUCGAUUUUUCUAAAUUUUUGCAUACUGUGUGUCCACUUCUGACCAAUCAGAUCACGUGUUGUUGCAACGUCUGAUUCACCGGUAUAUCCAACAUGGCCGAUCGGCUACUUGUUUAUGUGUCAGAGAACAGAGUGCUUUUUGAUUAAAAAAAAACACAAAUAUUACAAAGAUAACGACCUGAAGGACGACUUGUGGAGAGUCAUAGUGUCGGAUCUCUCCUAUGACGAUGGUUUGUGUGCUUUAACAGUUUGCUAAAUGUCUUUGUUUAAACUUUCAUCUGUGCUAAGUAACUUUAGCUCAUAAGCUAACCUGUUCAGAUACAACAUACCAUAUGUAUUUUCACUGUCUCAAACUCAAUCGCGUUGCUGUCACAGCGCCAUUAGGUCUCAGUUGUUACCUUACGUUUAUGGAUUAUAGUUUAAUGUGCUUAUCUGGUACUGGCCCCGACUCAGUACAUGCUAUCAUGACAGACACCCAUCUCAACACUAGCGUCUAAUCAGAACUAAAAAACAGUCAGUCUGCUGUUGUGUCAGUCUUCCCGCUUCCACCCGGGACGCGUCUUUUUCCUCCUGGAAAGUCGCAAAAUCGCAUGAUGUGUAUAGUCAGGUGCGUCUAAAUUCGCCUCAGAAUAUUUCGUAAUUUCGCAUUCUAUAUUCGCAUCAGCCCUGGUGUGUAAGGACCUUAAUUUAGUCGUACACAAAUUUGGAUGUGGUCACUUUGAGUGACAAAUCAGUGCAUUCAGCCUUGUGCUAAGUGCUAUUUUAAUUCAUUACAAUCACUUUAGUUAUCCUCUUGGUUGUGUUUGUUCUGCGUUAUAGGGAUUUUUUUCAAGAAAAUAUGGGCAGCAGUGACUCAGUGGUAGCCAACCCCCAAUUUCCGCCGCAUCUGGAACGGCUACGAAAAGGCCAUAUCUGGCGAUCGUAGCUGAUCGUAACCAUUCAAGUAAAUGUGUAAAUUUCCACUGGCUUCUGUUCUGCUGCGGAUUGCCGGACUCUGCAGCUGAUCGCGAGAGUUCUAUUUUUUCCAGACGCUGGAGCAUGCCAUAUAACCCAUGCUGGAAAGGUUUUUAGACAGCAUUACACCCCGAUGAUACCAUGGAUGAGGAGAUGCUGAUUUUAGAAGUCUAGAGGCGGAUUUCUUCCUCUGAAAGGAAACAAUUUGAUGCAUUUCUGGUUAGCCUCUGUGGUUGUCUUUAUAGAGACAACUCGUGAUCGCACGAUUGUAUAUGAAUCCGUGGGUUCUUGUGAGUUCUCGCGAUUACUGCUGUCUGUAAUCUGCCACAAAAUUCGCCUCACCAACGGAUCCGGUAGGAAUUGGCGGACGGCAAAAAUCGCUGCCGUUCCAGUUGCGGUGCAAAUUAGGGGAAUUAUUAGAAGGUUACAAAUACAUAGUACUGGGUGAUACUGAUGAGCACUCGGCAGCUUCUGGUGUCAGCGUAUGAAUAUGACAGAUAGCAGGUUGUAGGAACUGUAGUGUUGAAGGCUGGUUAUUGUAAAUAAUCUGGUCUGGUCUCUACAGGUAUAUCCACCACAAAUACAACCUCCUAUUAUUGCAUUGCCAGCUAGAGAGUAAGCCAUUGAAGUAUACUGUUUGACUUUGCCAAUUUGAUGUUAGCUAACCUCUUGUUCAUCUCCACAACCUCUUGACUGAGUGUAGUCACGUAAAAAACCAACAUUGUUGCAGCCAAAAUGCUGAACAGGCAGCUUUGAAAAGGCAGUCGGGGUCAUGGUGGUAAUGUUUGAUAUUUAUAUAGUCUUUGGAUACAUACUGAGCCAGUUGUCAGUACCUAAUUGUACCAGUUAUUUAACGUUGUACCUCAGAUCAGUCUUGAAUGUAGAGUAGUAAUAGAGAAGUGACAGCCAUACCGUAUGUGUCAGUAUGGGUGCCUCCCUAAUGACAGGCAGCUCUAGGGGAUAUGAAAGGCAUGGUGGCAGGGGGGUGGGGCAGCAGACUUGCUGGUGGAGCGACCUGUCUGUUCACCCCAGCUCUGGCCUUUGUACAGAGUUAAUGAUGCCACUAAUAUGUUCUUUAAAGACCACACUGUGAUUCAUGGCUUUCAUUAGCCCUGUGUGCCAGGGUGUCUUUCUCCCUCUCUCUCCCUCUUUCUCUUCUCUGUCGCCCUUUUAAUGAUGGCCUGGAGACGAGGUGGCACGCUUGACCCUUAAUCAUACAAGCAAGAGGAGGCUGGUGGUGAGCGAGGGGCCGUGAUUAGAUGGGAGGUUUUUGGAGAAAGGCAGGGGGUGGGAGUAAGAGGAGGAGGUAGAAAUCUAUAACAGUUGUUCGUAAUCCUGCUCUUCAGGGCUGGUUAACUUCUCUGCUCAGCACAGCAUCUCAUGUUGAGUAUUUACAGAAAGUACAUACUUAUUUAUCUUUUUUUCCCACCAUCUUCAACUUCCUGUCAGUGUGUUUUAGAAAAAUGGUUACGUUUGCCUGCAAGUCUGAUCAGAAUAUCUGCUUCAGUUUUGUUGAUGGUGUUGCAAGUGAUUUCAGUUGUCAGAUUAUACAGUAAAUAAAGCUGUCAUGUCUUACAACUUGGGUUUUUAUAGCAGAAUCUUGACUGUCGCUCCUGUUGGUAAGAGUAAUACUGUUCUGCCAACUUAACAACUUAAAAACUACCCCCAGAAAUCAUCUGAUGAGCAAAUUACAAAGAUGUUUGGUGGCUAGUUCUUUGGCUGGGACCCUAUAUGUACUAUUGAUGAAGUUAGGUGCUGUUCUGAGCAUUAUUUGUGGCUAUAGAGUGGCGUUUUCAUUGAGGUUUGUGUGUGGCUCCUCAGAUUGCUGUGUAUUGCUAUCGUGCGGUCGUUACUAAAGUUGGUAUAACUAGAGAAGCAACAUAACUAGAGUCGGCAACAUUCCUUUCGAGGGGAUGUCUAACUCAAUGUUACGGUGUGUUUGACCCUAACUUAAUUUUACGUUGGAAUAUCCCUUUAAGUGCACUUACAUGAAUACAAAACUGUUGCACCUUUAGAAACUUUCUGGGAUAACUAAAGCCUCCCAGAUGGUCAAAGUUACAAAGUUAAAGACCCAAGAUGUGUAAAAAAAACAGGAACCAUCCCUUAACAAGUGCUUUUUAAGCUUUCGGAAACUAUUACUACAGUGACAUGUUCCUAUUCAGUGGAGUAACAGACUUGGUGUAAACUGGAACAGAGGGCAACACUAACUCAGACAAACUGUUGGAGAGUGUAGGAGUGUGUAUACACACACACACAAACACAGAGGGUCUGAGUGUGUAUGUUCACAAAGGGGUAAACAUAACACCAUCUCUCACCUCCAGCAGUCUGUUGGGAGCAGAGAAAAUAAACAAUAAAUAAAUUACACACAGACACAGUGUACUUGGUCUUGCUUUGCAGAGAAUUACAGUUGUUUACAUGAGUGUUCAGGGGGUGGCAGGUAGACCCACACCAUGUCUGUGUGUAUCAUGUUGGACCGCUGACGCUAGGGAUAAUUUCAAUAAUUUACACUCUCCGUGUGAUUGUAGGAAACGCCUCGUGUGUUACUUUUUAAAAAUGUAAAGCAGGCCAUGUUAGUCUCUGCCCACCGACCACAACCUCCACACACUCACACACACACACACACACAUACACACACAUAUAUAUAUAUACAACAUGGCUCUGGACCAGACGAUUCCCCAGAUGAUAAAAAGCAGAUGUUUUCCCAACAGGGGGUAUUCUCCUAAUGCUUCUAUACCAACCAUAAAACCCCCUCUCUUCUGUCCUCCUCUCCUCCUCCUUCUUCUUUUCCUCUGGUCUCUUCCCAAGCCAUCCGUUUUUCUGCAGAAUAAAGACAGAUUAGGGUCUAAAUCCCUCCGCAAUUUGGGUCAUGGCCUUUUGUGUGCUCCAUACGGUGAGAGGAGUGGCACACAACCGGGCCCCCAUUUGCCAGAGAUCAGGGGGUUAGGCCUGCAAGUGAUUGAGGGGGAACUGCACAGUGUGACCAUGUUUGGAGAAAUAAUGAGAUUGAAUUAACAGAGAGUCUAUGGUGGAGACCUGGGUAUCACACAGAAGAGGAGAGGUGGAGGACUGCAAAGAGUAGGAAGUAGAAGGAGGUGAGGAGAUGCUAGCAGAAUGGGUGAUUUUAUACAUUUGCGGAAGCUGUGAUAGUUUACAGUCAGCAGUGGAGUUUAACAUGCACAAAAGUUACUUCCAACACUAUUCUAUCAAUCCCUCCCUUAAACCUUUUGGAUAUGAUGAAAUUGGUGAAUAUAGAUCUCCAGGCCUUUUUUGUAGAUUAAAACAACACAACAGAUGGAUUUUGUUCGCCUCAUCAUUUGAAAAUCUUAAUGUUGAGUCUGAAUUUCUAGAAAUUUUUUGGUUGUCUUCUUGUGUGUAUGUUCUUGUGGGAUUACCCAGAAGCUCCAGCUCUUGAAAUACUGUGCAAAAACAGGAAACACCACCAGAGAAAACAUCAUAUAGCUGCAACAAUCCAACCUAGCGCCUCUCUCCUUAACUCCACUUUCGUCUGUGUUACCAUCUCAUCCUGAGUUCAAAGCAGCGUGAUGUUAAUGAAGGUUCCCAUGUACAAAGAGAAGCUUAUGUAAAUGUUACCUCUCCAGAUGUUCUAUAGCUCUCAGAGCCAGAACUCCAACAAGCCCCGAGCCACAAAGAUCCAGCGAGCAUUUAGACAAACCUUUGUACCUUCACUUGCCUAUAGGGCCUAUCAGACCGUCGCUGCCUGAGAAUCAAUAUCUGCUGCUAAUGAAACUUAGCCACACAUUUUAAUGAAGGAGCCAAUUUGCAUUUAAAAGUAACAAGAGGGGAAAUGGGUUCAUUUUUCCCCAUUCCUUAUUUAGUGUGUACAUUUGAACAGAAAGCACUGAACAGGUUUGGUGUGUGGCAACAUUUGUCUGUUUGCAAAGAGGUUUAUUCAUCAGGUGCGGCAUACAUGUUGUUGCUGAAUGUUUAAAGAAACUCUGCCGCUCUUUAUACGCACACUAGAUGACAUAUUGUUGUUGAACUGUAAUAUUGAUGAUAUUUAUUGAAAAUAUUGUUUCUAAAUAUUGUGUAAAAUAUCGACUUAAAUCCUGCAUCAAGAAAAAGACACAUAAGGGAUCAUGAAGAAGAAGCGACCUAGUUUUCCACAUUAAGCAGACCAACAUUUAAUUCACCAGCCUUCUUUCUGUUUAUUGAUAUGAUUAUAGUCAGUCCACACAAGUCUGAUUAGAGUUGUCAUAGCAACAGUCAGUUCUUCAAAGCAACAGUCUGCUAUUGUUGAAAUAGCAAAAAUGAAAGCACUGCAAUGAAAUUUUUCUUUAUUAUGACCAAUUAGAAACAAACUGCCCUGACAUACUGCAUGUAUAAACAAACUAUCUACAUCUGAUUUAUAUGUAUAUUGUAUUCACAUUGUAUUGAGCCUUGUAGUUAACAAAUAUUACAGGGUUACUGAAUCAAACAUGCCUCUUGAGUUCAUAAGGCAAACUUAUUUACAAAAUAAAACUUAUUUUUAAACAGAGAAGAGAAUAAAUAAUAACAUAGUAUCAUGUAUUUUUUUUUUCCUGUGGACUGUCUGUUUUUUUAAAAAAAGUGUCUACCCACUGUACAGCUUUUUCAGCUGCAUCUAGCUGAAAACUUAGUUGAGGUGGUAAAAGUCUAGUAGAAGAAUGAGCUAACAUUAUUUGGUUCAGAAUACUCUCUAUAAGUCAAGUCAAAAUUUCAUUACAUGGUCAAAAGCCAGCACAAUCCAGUGAAAACCAUCAGUUGGAUUUUUCAGACAUUGAUAAAACCGGGUCUUCCAUUUUUUUUCUAGUGUUUGCAUUUUUGAUAAUCCUGAGGGUAUUUUAAUAAUAGAUAAAGAUUAGUAGACACUGUGCUUCAGAAUCACAUAGAUAUCAAUAAGUUGCAUUGCCUUCUAUUUUUAGCUCUAAGCUCCUGUGAGGAGAAUAGGUAGGGAACUAGAUUUAAAUAAAUACUGAUGCCUCUAUGUGGGCUAGAAAGGCAAAGAUCAUGAUUAUCACAAAGACCAAACCUAUCCUGUACUGUCACUUUUAUUGUCUGAAACUGCUGGAGCAGGGUUAGGUUCAAGGAAAGUCUCAGCGGCACACCACUAAAGCAGACUUUGUUGACAUUUACCACAGCAAAGACUCUCAAUAAGUUGUGGUGCAACAGAUCACGGCUGGUUUGUGAUCCGUUGCACCAUCCCAUGCUCAGUUCGGACCACGUGUUAUAUGGAUGAAAGCAUCUCAGAACAAAAUGAAUAACUGCAUUUUGUUGCACAUUGAAAGGUGAUAACUUGAUUCACUGAGACUUGUGAUGGGAAUUACAGCUCUUUUUAGUGAGCCAGAUUAUUCAGAUCAGCCCACCAGCUCUUUCAGCUCCCGAAUGGCUCUUUAUUUUACCACUUAUACAUUUUAAAAUUCAGCUAAAUUUAGUGUUGUUGGGUUUAUGAUAUGUACGUUUGUGUGCACAUACUUAUUAAAUAAUUCAGUACAUCCUUUAUACUGAAGUAAUCACAGGUAAAAAUCAUGUUUUCUAAUAUCAGUAAAUUGCUGUAGCCAAUUGUUUUCAUUGCAUUUACAGACCCUGGUAACUCUCUGAAACAACCCAAUGACUGCACUGACUUGCUUGUAGAACCCUCUGCUUCACAAAGCAGAUAGAAAUCUUGUCAUUCUGUCUUGUAGUUUUUUUCUACUGUCUGUGGAGGGUAAAAAAGAUAAGGAAAGGGAAAGCGGCUCACAGUCGGGAGCCGGCUCUUUGAACCGGUUCGUUCAUGACCGACGCAUCGCUAACUAAGACACAGUGAUAUGAGUACUGGAGUGCUUUAUGUGGUCCACAGUACACACAGCUGGAUCACUGAGACACCAAGAUUUACAGUAGAUGACUAGAGGGCUGAGCUUAUUCCUAUUAUUUUGAGUCAAGUAAUCCAACUCUUUUUUAAAGUGAAAGAGAGAUUCGAGAUCUAUUUCAGUAGUGUUGAUAAAUGAUAUAUUUGGCUAUGAAAGGAAAGCAAUAUGAGAUUUUUAGACAGCACUACCUGCACAUGAUUGACACAAGACCAGCGAGGAGAUAAAAUGUCCAAGUUUGUCCACAGGGGGCGCCAACAUUCACUGGUUUUCCCUAACCUUUUCUUUGUUUUUUCAGUUUGUGCUGUAGUCACUUAUUCAUCUCGCACUGCCACAUAAGUUUGUUUGAUUACAAUGACACAUCUGUAUAGUUUGUGUGUUUGGACAUUUCUGAUUCACGUUAACAUAUAGCUCACAUGUUGAAUCUCUGUCACCCAUCCGCUGUUACACCUUCUCUGUUCUACAUCUACAGCAAAUCCAGCCUCUUUCUACUUGUUAAAAUAAACUGCUACAGUAAAAAAGCUAAGGGCAUGUUUUCUCUUCUUUUUUUCCCCUUCAAGUAAAGCUCAAAUCCCACAUUUGAGUGAGGGAUAAAUGGUGGUCAUGCCUCCAGACUUUCGACUAGAUGAUUUGAUUCAGAUAAACAAGCGGCAUGCUGCACAGACUCUCGUGUUUUCUGUGUAAUCUUCUGCUUGUAACAGGAGCUUUGAUUCCUGUUCAGGUGGGGGAUUUCUCCUCUGGACCAGGUAAAACAUUAAAGCCUCUCACUUAACAGUCAGAGCUUACCUUAGGCAUUUUUGCUUUUUUUUUUUUCUCCCCCAAUUUUAUUCAUUAUAUUUCACAUUUGUGUGUUUUUUGGACAAUUCUGUUUUGCUUUAUUUUUUCUGAGAGAAUAUCAGACACAAAGUGAACCCCUGUUGGGAUGGAGGUUGUAGUUUUGAAAAAAGUUAAUCACCUUUGAAAGAUUUACUUUUUCUGGCCAUUGGGGCUAAAUAUUUGUACUUUUUCUUUAACAAUGCAUUAGUGUCUAAAGUUUACAGUAGUGGAAAAAUCUCUGGGGAUCUCUGGCAUUGAAUAUCUAGAAAACUCAAAUACAUGAUCUGGCUGUUUUCUUGUUUUGUUGAGGUUCAUUAAACCAUUUUUAAUUCAAAAGUGCAACUAAAAAUAUACAACUGCUUUCUGGAAUUUCAGGCUUUAACAUUAUUAUACAUAUUCUGCACACAGACUGAUGUUAGCAAAACCAUUUGAGACCAUGUGAAACACUGAACAAUAUCAGUGUUGUUUGAUAAAUUAAAACGUUGUAAAAUUAAGGUAUUAAAUCCACGCAACUGUUGGAGAAGUGACCAUUUCUUUGACAUAUCCUGUGACUUCUUAUGUAACCAUCUGACAGACUUUAGCCAAACACCUUUUUCUUCAUGAAUGUACAUCCUCUGAUGGUAAAAGUUCCCUCUCUGCAAGCACACAGUAUCUCCACUUUGUCACGCUGCGUUCACAAUCCUUUCUUCUCUCCGGCAGCGCCCUGCAACAUGAAAGAACAACCUGCUCGUUUUAUGUAAAUAACAACAAGGCCGCGUCUCCUCUGUGUGCCACUCUUGGUGAGAAUACCCCAAGAUCUUUGCAGCAAAUUUUUUCCCGUUCUCCCCUGCCGGCAAAGUGUGCCACAAUAGCAGCUGCAGCAGGAAGGCAACUUAGCCUCCAGCAAGACUAAAGUGUGCAUCAGAGUAAAACAGUUGUUUACUUUGUUUGAACUGCACUAUCUCACCCACGGGAGCCUGUGCGCUUGAAGUUCUGCAUCUUUCACUCUCAACUUGUGACAAAGAGUCGGAUGAAUAACAAUGUCAUUUUCUCUACCUUCUCCCCCCUCCCCCUUUUUUCUCCACUUGUCUUCUUUUCUGAGUUCAGUCUAUUUCUUUUUCCACCGCCGCCCUUCUUCUUCCCCUUUGCACUCCUCUCAAAUUAUUCAUCGUCUCUUUUAAACUUUCAGCAUGCAGUAAAUUGAUGGUGACACACAAACUACAUUAUGUUUUCUCACUCCUUUUUUUAUAAACUAACAGCACUGCUCAUCUCUCUUUAAUUGCGCAGCAGGUGGGGACACAGAUGCACACAGAUGUGAGUGCAGGAGGCCGAGAUGAGAGGAGGGGAAACGAGGGGGAGGGAUGAAAAAGACGGCGUAGCGGCGGAUUGUGUAACUUAGUUAAAGUGAUGAAGCAGAGGUCCUAAGUGACCCAGCUCAGAUGUGAAUGUUGUCUGUGCGCUGAAGUGGAUACAAGAGAGCAGGAAGAGAAAGACAUGAUACUUAUUCUUUACUCUGCUUUGACUUUAAAUUCAACUUCAAACUACUACUGCUCAAGAAUGUAGCACAUUUAACCAACUUUAUCAAAGUUCCCUCAAAUAAACUUGAGUAAAAAGAUGGACAUAAAUAUGCAAGAUGCCAUUCAAUCUCACUUGUGAAUUUCCUUCAUGAAAGCACAGUCUAAGGUUUACACUUGAAGACUUAGUAAAUAGUUUGGAAAAAAAGUUACGGUAACAGUUUAUUUGGUGUCUAUCUCUAUAACACAUUAUAAAUAUAUGUAUAAUGUGUUAUAAUCACGUCAUAGCACUGUAUAACUAUAGUUAUAAACACUCAUAGAUGAUCAUAAUGCUUUAUAGCAAUAAUCAUAUCACAUUAUAAAGCGUUUAUCAUGACUUACAAGGUCAGGAAUUAUAAUGUCUUUUAAGAGUUUACAACAGUUUUAAUGCAUUUUCUAUGUGGGCAUUGUCAGUGAGUUGUUAACAGUUAUAACACAUUAUAAUACCUGACCUUGUAAGUCAUGAUAAAAUGCCUUAUAAUGUGUUAUGAUUGUUGCCAUAAAGCAUUAUGAUCAUUUAUGAGUGUUUAUAACUAUAGUUAUACAGUGCUAUUACGUGAUUUUAACGUGUAACAAAAAAAUAAUAUAUUUAAUAAUAAUUAUAUACUCUCAUAAUAAUGUAAUGUAUAACAUACUGAAUUUCCCUUCUGGGAUUGAUAAAGUUCUUCUUCUUCUCAUUCUUAUUAUACAUAUAUUUAUAAUCUGUUAUAGAGAUAGGCGUCAAAUAAAAUGUGUUACCAAAGUUACAUUUAGACGUCUAAUUGACCUCCUUUAGACCAAAAAAAUGCUCAGUGAGCUUAUAUUAAGUAAAGAGGCACAUAUACCUUGAUUUCACUUUAUUGAUCAUCCUAUUGGUGGCUUUAUGGUUUUUGUUUUUAUUGACUUUUCCUCUUUAGUUGACCUUACUGAUUUUGUCAAAUUCUUGUAAACUUACCUGUAAUUUCGCCUUAGAAAGUACUUCAUCAAUAUGAUUGUGAAUUAUUUUGCAGAAAUAUAAUAAUGGUUGGAGUCAUAUUGAAGCAUUUUAGCAGGUCGCCUUCCUAAGACUCUAAAUGAGCAGAAACCUCAAUAAUAAUUAAAGUCACAUAAGCCGUGAUCGUCAUGUUCAUCUAUGUCUCUUCUGUGCUGUUUAUCCUUAAAGCAACAUAUUUUCUAGUAGUUGUCUUUUUUCCCUAUCAGCGCAUGUUUAAGUUGAGUGUUUGCUCUGUAUUCUUGUGUUGUUUUCUCCUCCGUCUCUCUGUGUUUUAAUAGAGAUACAGGCCUGGCGUGUCAGUCUGGGGACACAGAGAGCAGAACAGAAGACAGAUCAAAGCUUCAAAAGAUUAUUGAUCGGAGGAGAGGCAGGUUGUAGUUUUGGCUCAGGAUCAGGUUGAAGUGUCCAUACCUCUGUCCUUGAUCCAGUUAUGUUUGUUUUUCUUUCUUGAUGAACAUGACUUUAGGGAAGAGAAAAAAGGCAUGUAAUCCAAGAGUGCGUGUGCUAUUGUAUGUACUUUUGUGAUUGAAAACACAUGUCUGCGCAUGUCUCUCAGCUGCUGCUUGAUUUUCUUCCUCUCUCUCCCUCUUUUGUCUGUUUGUGUGGAUCCGUGUGUGCGCUGCUGUUUGUGUGUCACUAUGUCCACAGCUACACAGAAAUGAUAAAUUUGAGGUUAAAAAAAGACGAGAUCAUAAAUAGUCACACUUUUACUGAUGUACAAGUCAAACGGUGAAAGAUAUCCAGGCUGAAAAAUAGUCAAAUGUUGAUUUGAUGUGUGUUUUUGGUGAGACAGCUUUCCCCACAUCCACACUGUUGCCUCCUCUUUCCACCCUCUUCACCUCUCCCACAGAAGAUGAAUAAGUAAUUCUUGGUAUCAUCAUAUGUGAUUGAAGGGGCUCUGAAAAGCAGCAGUGAGGAGCGUUGCCCGAUGAAGUGAAGUGUUGAAAAGAGUGAUUAUUUUUGCUUCACUGAGGUCUUAUUUUUCAGAGUGCCACUAAAAGCAUGCGAGACUUGUGUCACUUUGCACUGAGAGGACGGAGCGGCUGAAGGGUGAUUUGAGAAGAGAUGAAAUAAAAGGUAGUGACACCCCACUCCCCACCUUUUUUUUCCCCCCUUUUUCUCAAAAAUCUUCAUUCUUCUAGCGGCUCCACUCAUCUUCUCCAUGAGGCAGGCUGGGCUGUAUUUAUGGCCGAGUGCCCACAGCUAAAGCUAAUAUUAUGAGCUUCCACUGUGCCAUCCAUAUUGUUUUACCUCGCGUUGCCUGCGGUGAGGAAUAAAUAAAGUGUCAUUGGCAGCUUUCAAAGCACUCCUCCAGCAGGUUGGAGAGCAGACUGGGCUGCAGAGAUGGAAAGAAAAGGGGGCUGUCACUUUGGGUUGGGUAAUUUUUGACGUGCACGUCAAGGCCUUGACAAGGGGAAUGUGGCCGGCUUGUACAUUAGAGCUCAAGCUCACAGGCAAGAAGGCAGCACAGCACUAGGGACAGGUAGUAAUGCAGUCCCAGAGAGUGCUGCUCAUCUGCUAACACUAUGUACUUGUCUGGUGCCACACAAGGAUGCCCCCUGUCGCCUUGGCUCCACUCCCCCCACCCCCCAUCCCUCUGCAGAAAUGACUUAAGUCAGUGCGGGAAGAAUCCAUUUACAAUGUGUGCUUUAUAACAUCUCUUUGACAAUGCAGUCAUGGAUUAGAGACAUUUGUGAUGAAUCUUUCAUGGAGACUUUUUCCCCCCAUCUUUCUUUUCCAUGUGCACCAGGCUUUUCAGGGUCCACAUGUGUCUGCUCGGAUGUCAUCGCAGGAAGACGGGGAGAGGAAAAAGCAAUGGGUACUCACCAAACGAAGAAAAAAAGGAAAGAGGAGGGGAAAAGGAAAGAGGAAGAGUGACACAGAAUCGUCAGAGUGGGGCAUUAAAAUUUAUCUCCAAGUCACAAUGGCAGCCAUGAUAGCAGCGUGAAACUUUCCUUUGAAAAUGAACGUCACUUGUCCUCUCAGUCAUGCACUUCCCUCGCAAACCAAGACAAGCGCUCUCUGUCCUCAUCAAUUCUUCACCGCCAUUUUGACAUUUAUUUUACUCAUUUGCAUAACUGCUCCCCGUGUCUCUUGUUUCGUCUCGGUUCGAGCACAUGCAGCAUCCUCGCUUUUUUUUUUUCUUCAACUUUUUUAAAAACGCUGCUUUAAAAUUAAUGCUGGCCCUGAGAAAUAUAUAAAUAUAUCCUAAAGUUGACAUGAUGUUGUUCUACAAUAUUCUCUUUGAAAAGCGAUUUUGUUCAUACUUAAAGCUGCUGUGGAGGUGCGGCUAACGCGCACCCGGGCUAACAAACACGCACUCUGUUGUCCAGCCUCGCCAUCCCUGCUUCUGUCUGUCUGUCUGUCUGUCUGUCUGUCUGCUCUGUGAUGUUAACAUGGAGAGAUGCAUACUGAAUGAUACAAUCCAGCCAAGUGAAUGCUGCUUUUUUAAUGCGCAGGCCUCAAGCAAGUCGAGAACUUUACUUGUUUACUUUGUAGUUUUUUUGAACGUUUGCAGACACUUUGGGAGCCUCUGAAUGUGCCCUGUGGCUUUACACAAACUUGAUUUAUUUUUAAAGAAAAAUAAAGACACUAUGACCUCUGAAUAAUUAACACAGUGUGUCUUCAUGUUGACUUUAAUUACUUUGUAGAUGUCCUUUCAAGUUGUAAAAGGGUACUUGUCGAGAAAUCUUUCCAUUCCUUUUUGUAAUUUUCUAUAUUUCUAUAUUUUUCCUGGAGAUAAAAUCUGAAUCUCUCCAUUUAUUCCCUAAAAUAAAUCUGCAUAAAUCCUUCUCCCGCCCGAGCUGCUGUUGUCCGGCUUUCAGGCGGCUGCUCCACAGAUGGCUUUUCUCUCUUUCUUUUUUUUUCCUCUUUUCUUCCUUUUUUUAUACUUCAGGCUCACCUGUCUGCCCUCAUUGUCCAUUUGAAAGUCAGAGCAGCGGCAAGAACCUGAGAACGACUCAAUGCAAAUGCUGCAUGAAGAAAAAAGUAUUAAAAAUUGAUCACCUUUCCAUUUGAAUUCAAGGAAGCCAUCAUUCUCCAUAAGCAGGCCUGUCUCUUUAAAUCAGAGGAACUGUCGCUUCUGUGACUGCCUGUUUACAAAAUAUGAGGCUGAAAAUGAGACCUGCUCCCUGCGGACAGGCUCCUUGUAUAAAUAUAAAUAAUGAAUAUUAGAUAAAUAAUUUCUGCCCCUUUAAUAAUGCACAACUCACGAAAUUCACUUACACUGUGAAACUGGAGAAUAGGACUAAAAGUAGAUAAUGCAGUGGUACAAUGGAGGUGAGAUUGUGUGUGUGUGUGUGUGUGUGUGUGUGUGUGUGUGUGUGUGUGUGUGUGUGUGUGUGUGUGUCGUAGAGGAAACAGGACAGGUUAGAAGGCCCCUGCUGACCCUCAGGUCACCUGAGUGAAUCCUACAGUGCAGGUAAAGAUGUUUGGCUGAAUUCUCACCAUAUACUCUGCUCCAAGUGGAUAUAAAAAUAAUUAUUUAGUGUUAUUCAAUUAAGAUAUCCUGCUGAAGGAGGUCAAAUAAAAAUGUAUUUACACAAGCUAAUCAGGGGAGUUUGAUGUGAACUGGAGCCCAGUUACUGCUUCGCUCCCUGGGGGAAGGUGGACUCUGGAGUCAGGCAGAGCUGCUCUGCUGCCUGUGUGUCUUAUGGAGAGAAAAAGAGGGUGGAGAUUUGAUGAAUGGUUAAUUAUGAAAACCCUUGUGCCAAAGCUAAAACUGUAAUUAGCCUUAAUUGGCUAAUUGGAUGGAAUUGGUGGAUGGUAUAAGCUUAAUUGCCCCAUUUUAUUCAAAGCAUUUAGUGCAAAAUAACGGACGUAGUCGUGUCAGAGACAGUAAAGCCCAUUUUUGUUUAAAGUAUAAUAAAUGUGUCCUGUAGAAAUAGUUUUUUGUGUGUUUCUCAAGAUGUACUGCAGCCUGAUCUGUCAUCAUGACCCCUCUGAAACAUUUUUUUUUUUACUGUUUUAAAGUUCAUGAGAAUUAUUCCUUUUGUUAAAUUAACCCAAAACAUUCGAAAAUAUAAUUUUGUUGCUUUUAAUUGUGCCAGUUUUAUUAACACAUAGCUAAUUACAGCAUACCUAAAGAUUCUUGACCUUUUUGUGAUUUGCCAUUUGCAGACUUUCAACUGCACCAAACUGGUUUCUGUUUACUCUAAACUUCUUGGAAAGCACAACAGGAGGAUUCAUGUGGUGAAACUCACUCCGAAAUUGGGAAAGAGCUUUUUAAGGAAGUAUUUUAAUAAGUCUUACAAUUUGAAAUGUUCAAGUCACUUAAAGCAAAAGAUGAAAAAUGUGUUUACUUUUUCUUAUGAAUAGGUUAUACAUUUAAUUUUAUAAGAAAUGACAUUAUAAAGAGAAACAGCACCAGUAACAUGUUUUCAAGUUGACUUGGAAACUCCAAGAACUUUACUUUUUUUACUCUGGUAUGUUUUGUUUCUCACCUGUGCACCACUUCAACCUUUGCAUUGACUUGUUGUGCAGCAGCCAUAAACUCCAGUGAAACCACCUUUUUUUUUUUCCCCUCUAACCUGCUGAUUCACGGUGCACAGAUGGAUGGGUGCAGAAACCUUCACUGCGCUCUGAGACAGACCACUGAAACAAGAAUUUUCUCUCCUCUUCUCCCUGACACACAAACACAAACUCUCACUGAGUAUUAGAGCAGCUUUGAGUCAAGGUGCUCAGACUGUGUGCUAAUAACACCAUCUAGAAUUCACGCCCUCCAAAUAGGUUAAUGUGUUUUUGCCCAGAGGGCCCGAUCUACCUCUGCAGCAGAACUCUCUCUGAGCUUCCAUUAAGCAACAACACUGAGGCCUAUUAGCUGCUGUGGGUGCAAGGAGUGAGAAGUCUGUACGAACACUCUUUUAUGCUGGUGUGUGUUUGUGUGUGUGAGAGAGAUAUGUGUGUGUUUUUGUGGACCGUGCACUGAGAGUGUCACUACCUGUUCAGACCGGCUGCCCUGUGUUAACUGUUGCAGGAGAACAAUGUUAUGGCCCCUGACAGCUUGUUAAAGAGUCCACCAUGUUGGAGCUGCUCUCACUUUGUUGUUUCAUUGCAAACUGUGAUACACAGCGCACAUUUCAACACGUUGACAGGACACACUCACACAGCCUCAGAUUAUUGUUUGUGAAGACGUUGGAGUGUGAAGAAAUAAGUGGAACAACAGAGAAAUUCAUGCAGCUUUUUGACUCCAGAUCAAUAUUCAGUGUCUCUUCUUCUUUAAUAAGAUCCGUCUGUGUCUUAAAAUGAUUUUGGUUUCAUUCUGUAUUGAUUAAUGUGCAUUUCUGCUUUUUUCCACUGUUACUGUUUUUAAGUGAAUGUAUUAAUAUAUCAGGAUUGGAUUUAAAUGGGUAAAAACAUAUCUCCUGUCAACCUCCAGGUAGACAAACUUUAGUGGUUUCUGCUUUUAACAAUGUCUCUUUUAUAAAUGUAUAUAUAAUUUAAAAUCAUUGUUAUAAUGAAUACAAUUUGGACGUUUAAAAAUGUAACGUAAUGAGGGUGUGUAAAUUGUUAAAUGAUGGGCUAAAAACUCAAGGUGCUUGUCUUGAUUAGACAUGCAGUAAAGGAAUUGUAGAUUUAGGUUAAAGCCUUAAAUCCUUAACAACAGCUGACCUUUCCACUCUCUACUUCACAGACCGCUCACAUGACGAAAAAUCUUGAAUUAAUCAAAUUUACAUAAAUACUAAACGCAGCAGGAACAUUUUUAACCUUUUGAACGUUUUCGUAUCUGAACUUUCUCUUCUCUUGAACAAACUUUGGAUGUUUUUCUUUUUGGGAUACACACACAUGGAGAAUGCCUCCAGAUUUAUCCGUCUGUUGUUUGGCAUUUUCUGUCGUCAAAUCAAGGUUCAUCCCGCUGCAAACAACUCUAUCAUUCAGAGCUGGACUCCUUGGUGAUAUUUUGGCAAAUGAUACCAAAACGUUUUAACUCAACGGCAUAAUUAUUGAGAACAAAAAAAAAAGGGAAUCUUAAGACCGGCUUAAUCUGAAGGUUAAUUAAAGUCAGGAAUGGUCCAGUAAUGGAGCAAAUACGAGUCAGUGUUCUUAAUAUUUUAGAUAUCAGCUUAAUUUAUAGUCUCAAAAAGUAUAUUAUAUUUAAUAUUUUACAUUACGCUGCAAAAGACAAGGCCGUAAAGGCUAGAUUAAAAUUUAACUGAGAAUUUCAAAUUAUUAAACAAACUCUUUAUUCUUCUGGUUUUUGUUGUGAUUACCUUUUUAAUUUGUGAAUUUAAGUUUAAUUUCUUUUAGCUUUAAUCCAUAAAAAAGACAUUUUUAAAACUUUUAACAGUAUUGGUGUUAUUUCUGAAUGUAUUCGAUCUAAUAGGUAAUGAUUUUUCUCAUCGAUUUGGAUUCCUCAGUUAUAGCCGUGAGCUGUGUAUAGUGUGCAUACAGUAUAUAACUUUGUGCAACAUACAGCUGAAGGGGAUAUAUAUUUGAGAAACACUGAUUUCACAGCACUUAAAAUGGAUUUAGAUUGUAUUAGCGAUGAGAUCUGAUAGAAGAUGUAUAUACACUUGGUGUUGUAGGUAUUUUUUUGCAGUUCUUUCACAUGAAUAGAUACCAGGAAAUGAAUUUAUAAUACAGUAUUCAUAUUUAACAACAGAAAAUAUGAAGGUCAAGCAUUUUUGUCCGAAGAUUGUCAAAACGUUUCUCUUUGUGUCAAAUAAAUUUUUACAAAAUGUUCUUGACGUGUUUCAACUUUUAUACCUCCCCAUACAGUAUUAUCCAUUAUAAAACAACAUGUGAAUAUGUAGGUUUGAAAGUAAUUUUUUAAAUCAGAAGUCACAUAUUUUCUGAUAAUAACAUAUAUAAUAAUAAUAAUCUAGUAUUAUAUUGUUUUACGCUGCUCAAACAUUUCUUCAAGUGAGGGAUAAUUUCUGCUCUCACAGAGGAUGCUGAAUGUUUUGUGUCAGCCUGACCCCUUGUGGACACCCAUUGUACUCACUGCUGCUCCGCUCUCCCAUUACCAGAAGCAUCACACAAAACAGUACAAGGGAAACAUCCAUAAAACUUGUAUAAAUUUUGUUUAAAUGAAUAAAUCAUCAAUUGUGAUGUUUUGAUUGCAUUUCACAAGCAACACAUGUCCUGAAUUGUUUUUGCAGAGAGUAUCGGAGUUUUUUUUUUUUAAAAAGAGCCUCCGGCUGUUAGCAGUGGUCUGUGUCUGUGAACAUUUAUUUGUAUUUAAGUAGACCAAGACAUUAUUUGUAUUGUUUGAUGCCAAAGUCAAUAAGAGCCCGUACAGAAAUGUGGUUAAAUGUCUCUCUAUUCUCUGAACUGCAGUCAGUGCGUUUGCCUUUGACAACAAUAACUCAUACAUUGAAUAUGUAUUACAGACUGAGCAGUCCUCUGAGAUCUAAUACAUAUAUUUGAUGAAUUUAGUGACUGACUGCUCCGGCCUUUAUCGUCCAGGGUAAAAUAGAUCUGACCAACUUAGAGACAGCAGAACUAAUUAAAUGGAUAAAAGAUAUAUAUGGGCUCCUUAGAGGAUGUAAAAUUAAUAGCAGACCAAAGGACUUGCCUCUGAGCGACUUCGUCCGCUCCACAGCACAGAGACGACUUCGAGGGCUGAGUGUGUGAGGUGUGUGUGUGUGUCUGUCUGCUAAUAUUCAAGUGCAUCUUUACUCUGACAUAUGGGCAUCAUUUGUGAUGUAUAUUUGAUUUUCAUGUUUGCAUUCAUCUGCACUUCAUCUUGUGUACGCUGGAUUUUUAUAAUGGGUCCCUUUACAGUUUGUGGAUGUUGAUAAGAAGAUCUGUGGUAUGAAUGUAGCAGAAAAGACCAUUUAUGCAAAAAGAAUCAGGUAAUACUUUUCCAAACGCUUGAGUUUGAUUGCUGUAUAAAGUGUGCCUGUCAUUUUUUCCAUGUCCACUUCUUUAUCUGACAUAAGAUCACAGUUCCGGUUGAGUCUGGAUUUUGUGAAAAAGCCUCGGCUAACAAACGUUUUUUUAGUUUAGUUUUGUCUUUAUUUAAAAGGCUGAAGAGAGACAAGACCAUGGUGAGUGGAGAGAGGUGGAAGACAAGCUAGUUGUCAGGCGUUGAAUCCGCAACCGCUACAAUAAGGACUGUGGUCUCAGUACAUGGGGUGUGCCAUUAAACCACUGGGUCAACAGCAGCUUUUGUGCUUUUAUUGAAAGAGAGAGAGGAAAGUGGAUAUAUCAAGAAACUGAGGAGAAAGAGUUGGGAGUGGCAUGCAAAAAAAGGCUGCAGGCUGGAAUCCUUACCCAGGCCUUCCACCUUAGGUUUAUGUGACAAGAUCUCUGACUUUGUCUGAGCGUAAAAUGUUUGUUCAUUCAUUAAAUAAAGCAUUAAUAAGAAUAGUUUCACAUAUUGUAGAUACUGAAAUCUGCGUUUUUUCCAGAUUGAACCAUGAUUUAAAUAACAUGUAGAUCACUAUCCCAAACGAGUUCACAGCGCCUUACUGCCAACAUUCCCUUUAAAAGUACAAAAAAUGAAUAUAUCAACUUAACUUCUGUAUUUAUUUGAUUGUGUGUCCAAAAAUUUAUUUUCAUAAACAUAAUACCACUUGAUGUUUUAGUCGCAUUUUUGGUGAAAAGAAAAAUAAUUUAACAGUUUGAGAUACAGCUGUGCAAAUUUUAAACAUCAUUAUAAUUUCUUAGUGAUUCAGCCAAUACGUUUAUUCUUAUUCUCUCUGACAAGUUUCAUGGUAGGACAUGAUUUUAUUAUCUUCAGAUUUGUGUGGUGUUUUCAGCUCAAUAAGAUUAUAAAUGGCACAGUCAUUCCUCUGUCAUUUUUCUAUUCCAUUUAAUGGAGUCCAAGAAACUCAAAAACAUCUUUAGUAUCUUCCAGAGACAGUUUUUGUCUAACCUUGUCUUAAAAAUCAUCUAUAUCUGAUAACCUGUAUUUUUCCUGUUAUUGUUCCUCUUAACGCAGCCAACAUGUAUAUUUGUGUAUGUAUAGUGUGCUCUGUGCAUAUCUGUACAUGUGUUGUUGCCUGGUUGGUUCAGUGUUGUAAAUCUGCAUGGGUAUCUUAAUUAUGACCUGUCAGAUAAAUCACAAAAUGUUGCUUUAAUCUGACCCUGGUACAAGACAUCAAAUGGUAAAACUUUGCUUUAAUAUUUCACAUAGUUCCUCACCAAAUGAGACGUAGAAAAAAAAUACACGAGUUGCUGAUAGACUUUCUGUCAGAGAGUGAAUUAAUUAACGGAGUCAAACCUUGUCCUCCAGUCUCAAGCCAGACCGUUAUGUGUGAGUCUAGUUAAAUAAAUAGUUUAUUCUCUCUCCCUCUUCUUCUCUCGCCCUCUCUUAGACGGAUCUGCUGCUGACCUCACUCCUUCCCCAGAGUGACUGAGCCUGAGGUCGUGUCUGUAUGAGGUGUACUCCACACUGACCCACUUUGACUCUCCCUGCCCUCACCUCCACUUCCCUUUCAACCAGUCAGACUCUGGAUGAAGAGAGGAGACAGGUUUGCUUUCAUGGAGAUUCUAACUGAGGCCAUGCAGGGGGAACAGCAGCUUUCUGGGUCUGAUAGAUAAGGUUCAGAUGAGGAACCUGUUUUCUUUUUCAACUCCUGGGAUCAUACGGUGUGCAGCAUGUGUACACAGAAUAUACACAAAGGAUGAAAAGGCCUUAUACUCUUAUACUAAAGGUGAAGAAUUGGUUUGUUAAUUUGCAAACGUGAGUGGACAAAAUAUUCAAACCACCUGUGAAAUGGAAACCAACUAAAACAGCUUGAGUAGUAAAUGUGAAAUUAGUGAGGCUAUUAAAAACAUGGUUAAACAGGACUAACAGUUCAUGUUUGUAUUAUGUGAUGAGUGAUGGUGACCCAUAACAACUCACACGACCAUAAGUGCGGGUUUGCAGAUGUGUAGAGGUAUCUGCCAAGGAUCUUACAAGGAGCCAAAAACCACAGACAGGCUUUAAGGUUAGCUUGUAAUGGAAACAGAAGUUAAAGGGAUAUUCCAGCGUAAAUUUAAGUUAGGGUCAAACACACCGUAACACCGAGUU
Molecule: long non-coding RNA, 66140 nt
Filed under: Xyrichtys novacula (pearly razorfish)
Lineage: Eukaryota; Metazoa; Chordata; Actinopteri; Labriformes; Labridae
Source: RNAcentral